RNAcentral lists this long non-coding RNA (47644 nucleotides) under Coffea arabica (coffee). RNAcentral's name for it is "long non-coding RNA (CARA_LNC006066)". Lineage: Eukaryota; Viridiplantae; Streptophyta; Magnoliopsida; Gentianales; Rubiaceae. The record is from RNAcentral.
UUUUUUUUUUUUUUUUUUUGUUAAGCAAUGGUUUCCACCCAAAAAUGGGCAGAAAUAGAAGGAAUAAAACUAAAUUCAUUAUACUAUAUAAGAAUGAGUUUAAGGCUAGAUUUCAACCGCAGGGAUGGGGCUAUUUUGGGAAUAUGAGAGUGUUUGAAGAGUAAUUAGAACACUGAGUACAAGUCAUUAUAGCUUUAAUUUCACUAUAAUUACUUAUAUAACCUUUCAGACAUUUAAGGUUAGGGGCAGGUUUGGUAUGUUACAAUGUUUGAAACCAAGUUGAGUGUCAAGUACAACUGAAUAAAGCUUGUAUUUUGAUAGAAUUACAUAAAAGUCAUUUUAAUCAUUUAUUAUACUAACAUCCAAACCUUCCAAUUUCCUGAAACCUUUCUCAUCUGUUAAGAAAUUAAUUGGAUGUUUACAUAAUUGGAUUUUAAUUGUAAUUAAUUAACUUAAUUAUUAUCUGAACAAUCAUUAUCAUAUUUAUGUCCCUAUGUUUAGCCGAUACCCUUUCUUCUUUUUCGGUUUCACCUCUUUGAUUUUAUUAUGGCUAUUAAAUAUUUGGUGGAAUGCAUAGCUUUUCCUUUAAAUUGAGGUGAGUUCUUUGGAUUUGUUUUCUUCAAUUGUAGUUUUUUUUUUUCCGAUGAUUGGUUUAUUCAAGAACUUCAUAUAGUUUGCCUUUUGAUACUUCUAAUUCAAAAAACUGACUAAUUGUAUUUUUUUUCUUAAUAGAUCCCAGAGAUUCUGUCUCUGGUCAAUGUAAAAUUUGAGAUAACGUUGUCACUUUCUAAAAUAAUCAGAAAAGCAAUUUUAUCAUCUUCUCCUCCUCAGCCAAGGUAUUAUCUCUUUAUUUAAAUCAAAUAACGGGCUCAGUUUGGAUUAGCUGUUUUUGGGAUUGUUUUUCAAAAACAACACUAUAGCAUUUCGUUUUUGAAAUACAAGUCCGUUUGGAUUAGUUAUUUUUAGGGUUAUUUUUCAAAAAUUAUAUGAAAAACUGUUACAGUAGAUGUAUUUUGGAUUAUUUUUAGAGGUAUUUUUAAAACAUAUUUUUGAAUAUUUUUAUAAUUUAUAAUUUUUAUAUUUUUAUACUUAUAUAUAUUUAUGUAUUUAUAAUACAUUUAUAAAUAAAUAUAUUUAUAUAAAAAUAUAUAAAUGUAUUAUAUUAUAUAUAAUACAUAAUAUAAAUAUAUUUAUAAAUGUAUAUUAUUAUAAAUGUAUAAAUUAUAAAUGAAUAUUAUAUAAAUGUAUAAAUUAUAAAUGAAUAUUAUAUAAAUGUAUAAAUUAUAAAUUAUAUAUAAAUAUAUAUUUUUAUACAUUUAUAAUACAUUUAUAAAUAUUUAUAAAUAAAUAUAUUUAUAUAUUUAUAUAAAAAUAUAUAAAUGCAUUAUAAAUGUAUUAUAUUAUAUAUAAUACAUAAUAUAAAUAUAUUUAUAAAUGUAUAAGUGUAUAUUAUUAUAAAUUUAUAAAUGUAUAAAUGAAUAUUAUAUAAAUGUAUAAAUUAAUAUAUUAAAAAUAUAUAUUAAUAUUAUGUAUAAAUGUAAAAUUAAUAUUAUGUAUAUUAAUAUAAAUGUAUAAAUGUAUUAUAAAUAUAGUAUAUUAUAUAUAAUACAUAAUAUAAAUUUAUAUUAUAAAUAUACAUUAAUAUAUAUUAUGUAUAAAUGUACAUUUAUAUAAAUGUAUAAUUUAUAUGAUAUAUAAUAUAUAUUAUAUUAUAUAUAAUUUAUAUAAUAUAUAAUAUUUAUAUAAAUAUAUAAAAAUAUUUUUUAAAUAAAAUAAAAUAUUUGUAAUAUGUAUAAAUAAAUAUAUAAAUAUUUAAUAUAUAUAAUAUACAUUAAUAUUAAUUAUAAAUAUUAUAAUAUUAUAAAUAUGGUGUUUAUAUAAUAUUUCAAUUUGUAAUAUUUAUUGUAUAUUUCAUUAUAUAAAUAUUUAUAUAAUAUAUAAUUUUCAAUUUGUAUAAUAUACAUAAUGAGGAAUUUCUUCUGAUUUUAGUUACCAUUUUCUACAAUUUCAAAUUUAGAAAAUAUUAUUUGUACUAAUUUUUUAUAAUCAAGAUAGUUUCAAUUCAGAUCUUUAACAAUUAUGCAGAUUUGAACUUAUUUAUGAGAUUAUAAAAAAAUGCUCCUAGCAAAAAAUACCAAAUCUGAAUAGUUUCUACAAAACUUUGAAAAAGAUCACUUAAGUUUCUUAUCUAUUUAUCAUUUUGGGCAUUAUUAUCUCUAUAAGAAACAUGUGAUUAAGUCGUAUUAUACCCACCAAAUUAUAUAAACAGUUAGUCAAAAAUAAAAUUAUUUUAUAUUAGAUUGGACGCAAAGUGAUUGAUGGAUAAACUUGACUUGAUAAUUCAGGUUAAGUUUAAGUCGAGGGAGAAAUUAGAAGUAUUGCUUGAGGGAUCUUUCACGAACAUAUAUAGAUUCGAGAGAUGAAGGAUCCAAUUGAUACUUUAAAAUGUUUUAUCAUCUUGGAUAAGUUUUAAAAGAGACCUUUGGAUACUUUUCAAUUGCACUUCAAACAUUCUUACAUUUUCAAACUACCCUUAUCUUUGCAGUUGAAAUUCAAACAUAACUUUUGAUCACAACGGAUUCUUAUAUAGUAUAACGAUAAGGAUGUCUCAUUGCACAUUAUUUUUAUUGACUCACUAUGUAACUUAUGAUUUUUCUAUUAAAAUUACAUGAUAAAAUCAUCAUACUUCAGUUCCUAUACUACAAAAUAUUAAACAACAAUUAUUAAUUAUCUUGAAUUACAAGCACCAAAUUCCCGCGCGUCGCGCGGGCUGUCUCUCCCUAGUAAUUGAAAUAAUUUAAUUUUUUUAAAAUAUCAUUUUUCGCUAUCUUUUCCAGUAAAUUAACACUUGAUCUUUUCUUUUCCUUCUUAAUCCAGACAAAAUUUUAGUAUUUCAUUUUUUUCCACCAUAUUUGAUCCAAACAAGAUAGAUGAAAUUCACUUUUCUCCCGUCUUCUUUUUUUUGUCCGGCAUGAUAGAUUUUAUACUACACAUACUCCUACUCUAUAUUAGGAGUAGGGGAUGACUCAAACGAAUCAAGGGAUAAUCUGAUGUGAACUGAACUAUCACUGGUUCAGACGGGUUUCUACGCACCUGGUGGUUGAGCAUUCUAGAAAAUCCUAGAUAUUAAAAUGUAGGUCAAGGGAUUAUUCGAUCACUUGACCUACAUCCAAGUAAAGUCUUGAAACUCUUUUGGUGGCCAAGUUCACUUUUCUCUGGUCUCCUUUCCUUUCUUUUUCAUUGGUGUCCUUUUCUUUCCUUUCCCUUGCUUUCCUUCAAUCCAAACAGUGUCUUAGAAAGUAUGGAAGGAAGGGAUGCUUGUAUUCAUAUAUGAGAAUAACUCAACAACAAUUGUUGACAUUUCUACUUCUAAUUAUAGAUUUAUUAGUGUGUACAAACAGGCCUCACCGAUUCAACGAAAACUUGAAGCCAAUCUGCCCCACAUCAAAUUCAUGGUAUAAAUGCGUUAUAUAUAACUAUAAGAAAAUUCUAAAGUUAACCACUCCUUCAAAUUGUAUCUCUUUUAUGAUAACAACUAUCCAUAUUUUAAAUUCAGAGUUCUUCAAUUCUACGUUCUAAGAGUACAAGACAAGAGUGGACCUAACAGUUAGUUAUCUUAAAAAGUAUAAAUUUUCUUCGCGAAAGUUAGCCUGAAUUCAAGGGGUGGAUGAUACUAUAUGAAAUUUAUACUGAAGUCAUUCUCCAUAUUUUGUGCGUUUAUUCUAUGCCCUCAAGAGGUAAAAUAGACGAAAACUUUAAAUAAUUCAAAUUAUUAGAAUCUCAUGGCAAAAAAAAAAAAACAAUUUAUUCAUUAUUAACGGAUAAAUUUAACUUGAUGACAUGAUAUCUACUAGAAGAGACUAUAAAAUCUCCUAUAACUAUCAUCCAUAUAUAAGUAGAACUACAAAGCGUAUAUGUUAUUGCUUUCUACGUAUGGUCAGUUUAUGACUUAAACCUUUUAAACUAGUAGACAAUAUCAAAACUUAAAACCAUUUGAACUGACCAUCACACUGUUUUAGCAUAUUUAGUUGUGACUUAAACUCUUAAACAAGUAGACAAUUUCAGAUUUGAAACCAUUUGAACUUAUUCUUACUUCUCACUUUAACCUUUUAAACUACUAAAGAAAAAAAUUUGGAUUUAAAACCAUUUUGAGCUGUUUACCAUUGCAUAUUUAGGACGAAAAUAGAAGAGGACAAUCUGGAUUGCACUUCUGUUCAGCAUUUUUGGUAACAAUCCUAAUACCACCCAGAAACAUGAGGAAGCAGCUGCUGAUGGUUUAAUGAACCAGUCUAAUUGGCCACCCUUCACUUUCUCUUCGCCUCCAAAAGUGGCCCAUUUAAAUUUGCUUUUGAUUUCGGCUUCUGGCGUUCGUGCACUACUCUCCACACAUGUCGAGUCCAAGGAUGAGCCCAUUCUUCCCGAGCCUCUCCAAUUGGUAUUGAGAACUGUAGGACUGUCUCCAAUUGGUGUUUGACAAGUUGUUCACCAGAUGGGAUUUAAAAUCCCUCUUAAAAAUCCAAAUCCCACGUCUUAAAGUUUAAAAGAUCUAGAAGAUAUGCCAAUACUUUUUUUUUCGACACGAUAGACCUACACUUACUUUAUACUAGGAGAGGGGGAUCUAAAUAGGUCCAAGAAGAAAUCAGAAGGAAUUGAACCAUCACCGAUUCAGACGAAUGCACUACGCACCUGUCUGAAAAGCCACUUCCACAUAUAAUUACUGAAACCUUGUCUCCCACCCCACCAAGCCUUGCAUGCUAGCGUGGUGGCCAAUAGCCAAAUGGCUGUUGGUUUAGAAGAUAUGCCAAUACACUUCUGUACUUUAGAUGGGCCUUAUCUCUACCCCUGGAUAACACAGUUGGGUCCUCCAUCUUGUUCAAUAAAGAUGUUAUAAAUAUUGUCUAUAUCUAUAUUACCAUCAUUUGGGCCCAUGUGAGGGCCGCAUUUAUUGUGAGAGAGGCCUUUGGCUUGUGUCCAUAUUACAAUUUGCAAGUAACGGGGACUUGAUGUCAACAGGCUUGAAUUAAGACUUGUGAGAUUUCUUAGGAUAAAGUAGGGGGUUUGGAUAGGGGAAGUAGAGAAAAAGAAGGUAAAUAAGGAUUGAGACCAUUUUUUUUUUGUCUUAACUGUUAACGUUUUAGACUUACAAUCAUUUUCGCUUCGUUAAUCAUUUUCUGUUUUAUGUUUUACAAGAGAGCCCAAAGAAAUUGAGCAGUAUUUAUAUUUUCAGAGGUAUACAUUAAUAAUACACAUUUUUUAAAAUAGACGACCACAAGUGAUCCCCUAUUUUAGAGGAGAAGAACUUAACAAUGCAACCAAAAGCAAACCCUAUGGUUGAAUCAAGAAAUGUGACAUGAGUAUUCACCAAAAAUAAAAAAUAAAAAUGCGAACGAUGGACCAACUGGACUCGAGCACCUAAAAAAAAAGAAAAAGAAAAACUGGACUCAAGCAGAUAAUACUUACGAAUCAUCCAGACCCAAAAUGUGAAUAACACACAUGGCCCUAAAACUGGGACAAAAAUUACUGGGCCAUAGCCGGGUUGGGCCGGGCAAAAAUGGCCAUCUGCACAGACCACCAAUGUUUGGUAUUUCUACCAAAAAACGAAAAAAAAAAAAAAAAACCAAAGGUAGGUUGUGGAAACGAACCAUUAGAACUAUUAUUUUGUAUUGAUUUUAACCAUAAUCCUCUAACUCAAUAACUAUAUAUUUUUUUCGAAUGUGAAUUUUACGCUAGUAUGACAGGUAAUAUGCUUUGUGAUGUUUGGUUUUUAUGUCUUGGCAAGUUGAAAAACUAAAAAAAGAAAAAGAAAAUAGCAACAAAUUAGCUUUGCUUGGAUUGUGAUUUUUUGUAGAAAUUUUUUUACGUUUUUCGUGAAUAUAUUUUUCAAUCAUUUUUUUAUUUCACAAACAUCAAAUUGUAAAGUACAUUUUUCUUCAAAAACUCCUAAAAAUACCAAUUCAAACACGCCUGAGUCUGCCUCUUGAGGACAUUAGACUCUUGUCAUGUUUGGCAAAGUAAAAAUGUCGAGCGAUCCCUCUUGUUACAAGAAGUUGAUGUUCGGUGGUCAUUGAAGAUUGCCAUUCAGCUGCGUUUUCCUUCCCUAGAGUUCUUUCGUUUGGGUCCAUCUUUAGUUGGGAGAGAAGGAAAUUGUAUGGAUUCUAAUGCGGCACAGUUUUUAACCUGCAUGCAAUAUUUCAUGUAAUGGAUCGUAAAAUCAUUUGUCCACAUUAUUAAUCAUUUUGAUACACCGUCUAAUUUGCAACACUGUUAAAACAUGAUGUCGAAAACUACGUAUAAUUGGAUUAAUCUGUCAGUACACUGACAGUGUAUACACUAUCAAUAUUGAAUGAACGACAAUUAUGUAACAUUUGAAUUUAAAAUUUAAUUUUUGCACACAUGUCAUAAAUCCAAUGCUGAUAGUGUAUACAUCGUCAGUGUAGUAAAAAUUUACUCAUAAAAUUUUAUCCAAUUGUAUAUUUUUUUUCUCAACAUUUAGAAUUUAGAAUUCGGCCAAUCAUGCAGGGCUCCUAUAUCUACUUUAGUUAGCAGACUCCUUAUGUCAAAUCAUAGAUAUGGAAAAAGGUGUGAAAAUCUUCUUGUCAGAUUUGUUUUUGGACUAAAUAGUUCGUGAAAAUGUGUCCUAAGAAGCGACAAAUCUGCAAUGUUAAUGUUGAAAUGGAGGUAAUUUUUUGUUCAGAUCUAUUUGAAGUUUCAAAGGUCCUUCUCCAAAUCCUAUCUGGUUGUUUGGGAAACUCAAGGGGUUUUGGAUUUCAAAUCCACCACAAAUUCCCCUAUAAUUAGGCAUCAUUUGAAAUCUCAUUUUCACGGUCUCUUCCCUGAGCUAUUAUUCUCGUAAGCAUGUGUAAGUCUCGGUGAGAUAUGCCGGCCAUUGUAGCCGACAACUGGAUAGCUCAGAAGUGCAGAGAAAAAUGGAGGAAACGAUUUUGAAUCCCCUGUGUGAUUUGCGUCUCGAUUUAGUUGAAUAGAUAGUGUUUAUGAUAGAGAGAAGUUGCAGCUAAGGGAAAGAGAGAAUUGAGAAGUUGGGUGCAGCUGCCGGAAACGCAUGAGUGCAGGAGGAGGGAAUUGAAAUAGUGACCGGCAUCGAAGAAGAAGAGGAAAUAGGAAUUUGACAUUUAGCCCUCAAUAAAAAUGACUUAUGUGUAACUGAUACAAAUUCUCCUCAAACAUAAAUAGGAUCGCGAGUGUAAAUUCUCAAAGUUACCAUCUAGCACAAGUGCACAGCCGACCAUUACCGAUUAGGAAUUCAUGGAGGAACAGAUGCAAAUGCCAACACAACAGCAUGGAUGUCGCAUGGAUUCGGACACGGGUAGGGUUGGUCCGGAAGGUUGAUAUGUUUGUUGUAGAUUCAUCAAAAAAGUUUAUACAUUUGUUAUAGGAUCUAUAUAUUGUGCAAUAAUCAACAUAAUAUAGGAGGUUUUUUAUUAUAAACAGGGAUGAUUAUAUGGAAUGUAAAAAUGUAAAUUUACAUAUUAGUUUGAAGGGUAAAUUUGUCAAUUUAUUAAUUUAAUUUUGACUUUUACUAUUGACUGAUAAUUUAACCUAAAUCAUGAGGGGGGUUAUAUAUAGAUUUUGAAAUCAUAUGGAGUUAUGUGAUAAAGUAUCAAAUCAUAGGAAAUAAAAGGUAAUUUACCCAAAAUAGUAGAUUUACACAUCAACUACAUGCAAGUUGCAACUGAAUAUAGGAGGUAUUUAUUAUAAGCAAGGAUGAUUAUAUAGACUGUAAAAAAAGUAAAUUUACGCAUGAACCAGAUACAACUGAACCAUUGACAAUAUGCUUACAUUUGGGGGAUAUACAUGACAUUGACAUAAUACAACCGGUGACGAAGAGAGGCCAAACAAGGAUUUAUUUAAUUUAAUCAUGGGAAGAUAAUGACUUGAACACCCAGGCUGAUGAAGACGUAUAUAAAAACAGCAUCAAAGCAAGAAAUAUUGAUCAAUCCGGAGAUGUAAACAAGUUUCUGCAGAAUAUUUAGUUCUUUGGAACCCAGACGAUGUGAUCCUCAGGAAGGAAAUGGCAGAUUGGAACAGUUCCAGGCUUCACUUUUAGCAGCUGAAAGGCCAAAUGCUUUGGAUUCCAUUCUGAUGUAUCCUUGUGACAAACAACCACAGCCUUGACUUUAGCUCCAUCAGCACCAACUAAAUUAACCAUGCAUGCAUCGGUAUUCUGCGUGGUGCGGCAGUAAAAAACCGCGUAGACAUAGUUUUGCUUGUGGCAAGAAACGAUUGUUUUAUCAUUGUUGUUCAACUUGGAAACAUCCACAACACCAUAAUUCUGGAAUGUUGCAUCUGUUUUAUGUGCUUCGCUUGAAACUGCUAGAACAUCUUUGCCCAGCUUUGACGUAGUGAAAUCAACCAUUGACUCCAGGGAAGUCGCACACUUCUUGUCUUCCCCUUUCAUUGCAGGCGCCUCGCACUCUGCUAUGGUUUCUUCAAUAAUAUCGGCUUCUACCGAUCGUGGGUUCAUUGAGUAUUUGUUCAAAAUUUCAGGAACGGAUUUGGACGAGAAGGGAAUGGAAUCGGCAACCAGACGAGAAGGGAAUUGAGUAUUUAUUGAGUACUUUUCGCUGAUUCAACGAACUUCAAAUUUGGAGGUCCGUUUUAAAGAAGAAAACUUUUACUUUUGGGUCAUUAUAGAGUUGAUCUUCAGCAGGAUUUUACCAUAACUGGUCACCAAAUAUCUGACACCCUAUGAUCCAAACAUUGGGACUGCCUCUGGUCUUAAGCUGAAGCUGCCACUUCCAGGGGACUUCCCUGUAAUUAUUGGAUGAGCAACGAGGUACGACAUAUAAAUAUAUUUUUUUUUGUUGCAAUACAAGAAAACUCGUGUAAUUAUUGAACAUGUCAUAUAAUUUAUAGAUAUUGAAUAGUUUUGGUGUUCGUUCUUUUGAAGCAGUGCAAAAGGUAAGUUUUGGUAUAUUACACUGAAAAAAAAAAGAAAAUUACUAAGUGGGCAAUUGGCGGAAUUUCAAUAGUGAAUCCAUAAUUCAUGAACAUGAGAUAACAUCACUGUCAAUAUUGACCUUCUCAUCUGAACACACUUUAUGCUGUCACUUGUACAUAAUUAUUAGACAUUAACCAUCUUUUCAUAUAUAGCGUUCUUUCUAUGGUUUGAGUCGAUCUUGUAAUAGAAAACUUCUAUUACAAAUUUCUUUUAGGUUUUAGAACUUGGUGAGUGCCUUUCAAUUCAAUUCCCCCAGAACAAAUAAAGACUCAACUCAAGCAAUAGAAGCAGAAUAAAUGACAAAUAAUACGAAAGGAGCAUUUCUCAGACCGACAAACCAUUGUUUAGGAGAUCUCCAACAGCUUUGGGCAUUUCCAACAAACUUCAAGAUCUCGUCAGUAAAUUUGUACACUACCAAAAGUGCAAGCAAAUUAUUUAUCUAAAAAUUCUCAUAAAUUAAUUUUUUAAAUACUUAGCUUUACUUCUUUUUUUUUUUUUUUGUUUAGUAAUGCAUAUACUCACAAAAACAAAAGGAAGAAAGUAGAGAAGCUUAUGAAAUUCCAUGGUAGUUAUGCACACGAGCCACAGUAGAAUGAAAGCAUACAGUACUAAAAGCCAAAAUAUUUGAGCAACCAUAAGAAACUUAGCAGCCUUAUUUAUAAGCGGAAGAGCCAAUUGGCAUUGCCAAUUGUUAGAGGGGCGAAAGAUUUUACUAAUAUCUUGGCUGUAAUAUUCAUCGUAUGGCAAAAAUGCACCUUAACCACCAUUAAGAUUCUUGACAGAUAAAAUGAAAUAGUGAAAGUCAAAAUAUUUUAGUAAAGAUAUCACACAAAAAUUCGCCGAAUUUUUUAUAUGAAUUUUUCUAAUGGAUAGUUAGUAUUCGUUAGCACACCUAAAUUACACGUAAUAAAUACAUAAAAUUACAAUUAUUGCAUCCUAUGCAUUUGGACACAUUUUCAACAAAUUAAUACCUUAGCCCCUCUUAAUGCCAAACCUUUUUUUUUAUAUAAGUGAACUUAAUUAUCACCACCCUUAAACAAAAAAAAAAACCCUUAAUUAUCACCUAAGAAAACUGCCAUCUGUACUUUUACUGUUACCUAAAUUUGCAUCUAAGAAAAUCGUCAUUCACACUUUUAUUGUCACGAGAAGAUCGAUCCUGAAUAUUCAAAGUCUCUUGUAAUACCCCAAAUAUUGAUAAAACACUACCAACUCGAUCGUGAUAUAUAUGUUUGUUAUAUAUGUUUGACUUGUACCCAAAAGACUAAGGCUCCGUUUGAUAACACUGAAUCUAAAUUCUGAACUCUGAAUUCUGAAUACUGAAAUAAUUAAUUUGCUGAAUUUUAAGCACUGAAAAGAUAUAUAUGAAUGUCUGAAUCUUAAUGCUGAAUCUAUUUAUACUGUUUGAUAAAUAUUCAUAACUUAAUGCUUAAGAAGCUAAAUUGUACAAUUUUGCCCUUCUAUCUUUUAAUCCAAAAAGGAAAUAGAACCUAUGAUUUAAUUAAUUUAAAAUUGUUAGGUAUAAAAAUGACAAUGAUUGUGAAGAGCAAUGCAUACAAUGACAAUAUUUCUUUGUGUGGGAAAAGGGUAUGGUUUCAUCAUUUUGAAAAUAGGAAAACGAGCUUUUAAUACUCCAAAAGCACCUUCAAUUACAUUUCUCAAUCUUGCAUGUGCUUGGUUAAAGCGUUAUUCUUUUGAUCUUGGACGAGAAGCAUUUCGAAAAUCAGACAACCAAUAUCUAAUAUUUCGAUAUGGUGUCAUAAAGCCACGUGUGUGUGGAUAAGUUGCAUCACAUAAAUAAUAUUUAUCUGCACAAAAAAAUAUAUAUAUCAAAAUAUAAAUGUUUGUGGAUGAAAAUUACUGCAAAAAAAUACUAUUGUUAAAAAAAAAUUUUGAAUAGAGAAUAUCAGGUUGUUUUGUUUAAUUAGAUAAGGAUUUUAAAUAGGAAAUAUUAGGUUGUUUAAUUAGAUAAGGAUUUUGAAUGUAAUUAACAAACAGGGAUAUAUUUGGUAGAUAAGAUAAAGUAGUUGAAGUAAAUCUCUUGAUUCUUAUCAAAUUAAGCAUUCAACUACGAUUCUUGUGCUGAAAACAAUACAUACAAAUUCAGUACCACUUAAUAAGUUCAGCAGGUGAAUUUUUAUUUAUCAAACACCCACAACAUCUGAAUGUCUGAAUGAAUUCAGUUUCAGCACUUUUUUAUGUUAUCAAAGCAAAGCUCUGCUCCUUUUUUUUGUCGCAACGAUAGAUGUUGUAUAACCUACUCUAGCCUAAUCUAGGGGAAGGGGUAGGGGAAUGGUCAACUAAGACCAGCCACAUAUUGUGGCCAAAUUGUGGGAGGCAGGGGUUGAUCCCCUGACCUCCAGCAUCACCAUUAUGGUGACAAGCAAAGUAGUCAUAGUCCUUCCGUCUAAUUUGGCUGUUAAGAUGGACGGGAUGAUACAAAAAUAAUACAAAAAAUAAAGGGAUAAUUUCAGAAACAUCCCUUGAGGUUUUCAACAAUUUCAUUUAGCUCCCUUAAGGUUUUAAAAAUUACACAUACCUCCCUUAUCAUUUAAAAUGAUAAUACUACCCUUAAAUAUUUUAAUAAAAUUUCCUUGUUUGGUAUGUGUAUACUUAGAAUGACUUUUAAAAUUAUUUUUUCAUUAUUUUUCAUUUUUUAAAAAGUUUUUAGCCAAUAAAACUGUAGAACUAUCACUAUCACCUCUAGUUUCUAUUGUAACCGAAUGUCCAACUAGUGAUUUUUUGACAAGUUAACUUUAUAUGUAAUCCAAUGUAGUUGCUGAUUUUUGUUUUCAAUUUUUGGGUAUUAAAAUUAACAAUAAAUGAAAAGAAAAUGGCCUAAAAUAACUAUUAAAUUAUGAUAAUCCAACUACUCGAAAAAUUCAUAAACUCUAAAUGAAUUAUUUCAAUAUUUUUUUAUCUUAUAAAUUUAAAUUCAUAAUAAAAUACCAUCAAAAGUAUCCCAUCAUAGUGAUAAAAUUAUUAUUAUUACAGUUGUUUAUCAAAUAGUAAGUAUGGAUUUGAAAAUUUUGAGACAUUUUUCUUAUAAUUAUACUAGAUAAUCUUAUAAUUAUAUGGGGAAGUAAAUUAACACUCAUUACACAAGGGUAUUUUUGAAUAUUCAUUUAAAAAUUUGAACAAGUCAAUAUUAUUUUAAGGUUUUGUUACUAAAACAAUCAAAUCAAGGGAAGUAAGUGUAAUUUUUCAAAUCUCAGGGGAGCGCAAUAAAAUUUUUAGAAACCUUUUAGGAGGUUUUUGUAAUUAUCCCAAAAAUAAAUGUCAAGUGAGCAAUCCGUGAUGCGUUUUCCAUCCAUCUUAACAGCCAAAUUGGACGGAAGGGCUACAACUACACAUUUUUAUUAAUUGGAGAACUAUAUUUACGCACUUAUUAGUUGGAGGACUAAAAGUACGUAAAAUUAAAAGUUUGAGAACCGCCGUGGUUUUUUGUCUUUUUGCCCUAUUAAAUACUUGACCACCUAAUUGUAGAUUCGAUAAAAUCUGUCCUCUUAUAAGCUUUCUGGAUAACAAUCCUUGACUACCUAGUAACGUGAGGAAGUAGCUCAUAGUUUAAUCAAUGAACCAGUCAUUAAAUUUGUCUUUUCUCUUUUUUUAUUUUGGUCUGUUCUGCUGUAUUGACCACCUCUCCAAGUGGUGCUGAUUAUUUUUGGGCCCUCACGCUAAUAGCUGAGAAACCAAUUUGUCCAGAGGCAAAUUAACCCAAGAGAUUUAAAUUCUUUUUUGAUUUGUCGGUUAACUUCUCUAGAUUUAAAUCUCACACCCUGAAGUUUAAAAAAUUUGGAGAAUAUGCUAGUAUACUCUUCUAAUUUAGAGAAUAUGCUAGUAUAGUACUCUUCUAAUUUAGAUUGGCCUUGCCUCUAGUCUAGCCUCAAAUAUAACACGGUUGGUCCCCUCCUUUUUAGUGUAGUAUAUUGUGGGUAUUACCAAUUGAAAAAAAAAAAAAAAAAACUAACAUUUGGGUCCUAUGUGAUGGCCACACUUAUUGUGAAGGACAUUAAUAGUAUCACAGACGUGUGAGUUUAAACUCACAGAAGCCAAAAAAAAAAAAAUUCUCAAAGGGAGCACCGAAAGUCUACUAAUUGCAAAAAGAACCCUUUGAAAUCUCCCUAGAGCAAAAAUCCAUUGAUCGCACUCUACCCUUUCUUCUAAUGCACUUGGAAUUGAAACAAGAAAUAGAUCAUUUGGGUUUUUUUAGAUUUUUUUUUUAUGUAGGUUCCAUACCUGUGAUUGGUUCAAACUUAUCUAGAGAUCAUGUGUUUGGAUGUGAUUGGUAAUCGGGUUGCAAUAAAUUCAUGACGGAUUUUGCAAUUUUGGAUGUUUGGAAGGGGAAAUGUAGAAAAUACGUACUCUCGUUUUUGCUCUUAACAUGAUGAACCAGUGACCUUUUCAUCCAAAAUUCAUCAAGUUCCGGACUGUGAUAGUAAGCUACGCGGCCAUUCUGCUAUUUUCCUACUGUAAAAAUAUGAAGAUGAAAUGAAAGAUUCUCUGAGCUCCAGACUAUUCUCAACCACAAAUUUUUUAAAUUUAUCAUUAUCUUAUUUUUUUAUUCCUAUCUUUUUAGUAUUUUUGUCCUUUGAAUUGUAGAUUCUUUCUCGUUGUUUAAAAUCUCAAAUGAUGUAAGUUACAUUUUUAUCCCCACUACAUUAUUUUAACAAAAACAAAUUAAUUUAACAGUAUGAGACACAACACAAUAAUGAAGCUGUAUAUUUAUUACUAAAUUGAAAUAUGUAUUAAUUAUUUAUUAAAGCGACUACUCAUUGCUAUAUAUUUCUACGAUGUAUGAUUUUGCACUCCUAAUAAGAUGUAGACAUUGGUUUUAUAUGUCUAAGAAGAAAACUUUUGACAAUAUACAAAUUUAACUAUUAAUUUCAACUUCACAUGUGAAAGAUCAUAUAUACAUGUAGAACCAAGUACAUAAAUUUGAAAUUUUUAGCUAAUAAAAAAUGAAAUAAUUAAUUAAAGGGUGUACAUAAUUUAGUUUUGAAUAAAAUUUUCUUGACAUAAUAGACAAGAGUUUUAACAAGUCAAUAUGUAAUUCUAAUGCAAUUAAUAACAAGUUAAAUUUCAUAGGUUAACAACAAAAUAGCAAGGUCAACAAUGUUUAAAGAGUAAAAGUUUAAAUUUUUCAUAAAGCAAAAUUUAGGUAAAAGGGGGCAACGCAAUUUCUUCAAAUCUAAUGGAGCAAGAGAAAGAUUCUUAAUAAAAAUUGCCAAAAUUUUCUAAGACCUAAAAGAAAAAUGAAAAACUUGGAUGGACGGCUGCCUCUCCUGGCUCCGCCGUUGUGACCAGUAGAAUGAAAGAUGGUAUGGAAAAAUUAGCCACAUGUUUCGUUUAUUGACCCAAUAAUUGAAUGAUCAUCUUGCUGAUGUCCAAAAAAAAAAAUAUUUUGUUAACAUGUGCAGAAAAUGUUUCGCCACAUCCUAAAGAGCUGAUGAGAAACAAAUUUAAAGAAUUUAAUUUUAUUACUAUUAUUGUUAUUAUUAUUAUUGGUUUUUUCUUGCCAAACUCAUGAUUGGAUAAUGGAUAUAAUUGGUUCAAUCCAUUUAAUAAACGGGCAUGGGUAUGAGUAUACUCAAUUAUUCAUUUAUAAAUCAAUUAAAAUUUUACUUAUUGCAUGUUGUCUGCCAAGAAAUAAUGGUAUUUUAUUGUUAUUAGAAUGGAAAGAAAUUUAAAUUUAUUUACUUAACACUCAGUAAAAGACGAAUUUAAAUAUAUAAUUAUUUUUAAAUGAAUAUGAAUAGGUGAUCCGAGUCAAUCCAUUACUCACUAAUUAAAUAUGUUUAAUUGAGUUAGUUAGGUGAGUCAAAGUAACUUAGUUAUGACUGACACCUAUGCUCCCUAUCAUAAUUUACGGUUUUUAAAAGUUGACUAUUAUGUAGUGAGGAGGCGGACAUCACGAAUCGCACGUGGAAUGUUCUUUUGUGCUCCAAUUUGAACCAAUUUGAUUAUCUAUCUGGUACUGCAGGUUGUCAUAUGUGAUAAAAGUAAAAGAUGAAGAACUGGAUUUUUGUUCUUCUGAAUUAGUAUAUAGCAUAUAUUUUAGUAGUAUUUUACAAGGAAAAAAGAAAAUUAAAUAAGUGGGCCGUUGGUGAAAUAUUCGGAUAGGGACUCCAAAGCUCAUAAACACGCAAGAAAUUGGCGGAAGAGCCAAGUGGGAUUGCCAAUUGUUUGAGAAGGGGAAAGUUUUGAUAUGGUGGCUGUACUCUAUUCACGGUACGAGACCAAUCAAAUUUUGACAUGACAUAUAGUUACUCUAAACAUGCACCUUAAUCUAAGAGUCGGCUUCUUGACGGGGACAGUGAAGAUAAUACAUACAUUAGUGAGAUUUCACAGGAAAUUGGCCUCAUUUUUAGAUGAAUGAACUUAAUCAUCACCUACAAUAAAAUGUGUACCUAAGAAAACUGUCAUCUGUACUUUUAUUGUCACGAAAAAACUACCAACUUGUAACAUUGAGAAUUUGAGUAUCUAGUAGUAUACCUAAAAAAGAAAAAAUUCCAUUUGAGUACCACCUACUAUAAUUGAGAACCCUAAGAACAUAUAUAAUACAGAUGUAAAAGUGGGCUACAUGAUACAUACAUGGAUGAGGAAAUUGUGGGCUAAUGUUGAGGCAACAAAAUAAAUCAAAAUGUGGAAUCUCUUAUCUAUUUAAGUAGUUUUGUUAUGUUUUACUUGUACCUAAAACUAUGACAUUCUACAAUUGAAGCAUAUGGUUAUUGUUAUGAGCUUGUAACUUCGAUUCCUUAAACAUCAACUAUGCAGCGAUUAGUUUUAGCUAAGCAUCAAGCUAUGCAAAACAUACUUAGAUAAGUUUGGUAUACACGCUGAAUUACAUUCACAUAGUAUUACUCCACCUAUAAACAGCGAUUCUAAAUUAUGAUAUUUUUAAACUAUAGACACAAACAUGAAAAUUCUUAAAAUUAAAGAGAUGAAUAAUCCAUAAGUUUGUUUUUGUCGCUAAGUAGUAAAUCACUUAGGAUGGGAUUUUCCAUAUAGUAUAUUUCAAGGCACAUAAACACAAUAAUGUUUGAUGAUGUAAGAAAAGUCUAGAUGAAAAUUAUAUACUAAUACAAGAAAAGUCAUAUAAAUUGAAUAUACUAAUAUUAGUUCUAGGUAUUUGCAUUUUACAUGGUAUGGGCUUCCUAAGGAAAUGUCGAGAAUAUCCUUUUUGAAAAACUAAAAUGAUUGAAGUGACCAAAAUAAGCAAAUGUAAUAUGCAUGGCACUUUAACAGCUCAUGGUUUUGUAUUUUACUACAUAAUCCCAUUAUAUUUUAAUGCUAUACCACAUAACCCCCAAAUGAUUUUCAAAAUACAUAACCCUCUAUAGUUAAUUAAUAAUUUUAAACUUUACAAAUGAGUACUUUUGACGUCUUAGUUGAUUUUAUUAUGAAAUACAAAUAUUGUCACUUUGAAAUUUUAGUUCAAAUUAUGAAAGGAUUAUAUAUAAUUUUUCAAAUCACAAGAGAAUUAUGUGAAAAAACACUAAAUCAUAAGAGGGUAAAGUGUAUUUUAUCCAAAAGUUAAAUUUACUAAUAUUUGGGUCCCAUUUGAGGGCCAUAUUUAUUGUGUGAUAGUCCAUAUUACAAUUUGGAAGUAUUGAUGUCAAGAGGAUUGAACUAUAAGACUAAUUUUCAAAAAAAAAAAAAUCAAUAAAACUACUUUCGUUUAGUCCAAACAAAAUAUCAAAAAGACCUACUAAAAAGUUUUUCAAAUAAUUUAUACUUAAAGUUUGGUGCUACUUGGACUUUUCUAGAGUGCUAUAAAAACCUUUUUUUUUUUUAAAGAUAUUAACAACAGCAGUGGUUGGGAUUACCUACUUUAGUUUGCCGCCUUUUAGGCCCUAUUGUAAGAAGAAGAAAAAAAGGAAAUUAAAAGAACUUAAAUACUAAUAAAUGUCGAGUAACAAAAUGUACCUUUUUGUGUAGUCAAAUUGGAACUACAAACAGGGAAGUAAUGUGACUAUUUUGGCAAAAUCUUAAAUAAUAGAGGAUUAAAGUGAAAUUCACCGUCUCUUUUUUCUCCUGUUCUCGAGAAAGUAAUUUUAAACCAAACCAGCAAUGAUUGAUUUUAAGCUCACGGCAGCCCUUGAAUAGGCUCACCUCGAGCACGCAGCGGGUUCACGACAGAAAACAGAUGAAUAUUCAGAGGUUGUAAUCCAGGAAUAUAUUUAUUAAGGACUAAAAACAAUUGAAUCCUACAAUUCUCAGACAGUAUAGUAAUUGCCCUUCACUUUCCUCGUCCUAUGAGUCUGGCCCCAUUUGCUCCUCAUUUCUGUUUGUUUAUGUGUCAAAAGCAUAUGCAGUCUGCUCGAGACAAUUCCAAGAAGGGGUCCAUUUUCUUGAGCCGUCUCAACUCAAGUGCAGUAGGAAUCAAGAUGAGGAAGCUUCAUUGAAUUCUUCACAUAGCGCCAAUUUUGAAGCUACCCCUCACUUUCUGCGUCUCUAGUUCUGGCCGAUUUGCUUAUCAAUUUUGUUUGUUAUUGUGUCACGCACAUGCAAGUCUACUGAAGUCUAGUCUAAGAAGGUGUCUGUUAUCUUGUUCCUAUUCAAGUAUUGCAGUCAUGCUGCUCUGGAGUAAAAACUCCUUUCUUCACCUUUGAAUCCCUCAUAAUUUUUCUCACCUUUGAUCCUUUACAUUUAGGAUUUUUACUCAUAACUUCUCAAAAGGAAAGGUACAUUUGUUUAUUUGACAAAUGACAUCUACUACAUUUCCUUUACUUCCCAGUUCUCACGUACGUUUUGAUUUCUGUUUUAUUCUUCAGUUUUAUUUAUUCUCCUUCCUCGGAAAGCCCAAAGAAGCAACACCACAUGCAGCCAUGGCCCAUGGCUGCAAGUUACAGCAGUGAUAUACUAAAAUAAAGAAACCUACUGUCUAUAGUAGCAAAAAAUUAAUUUGUUGGGUCAUCUGAACCCACGGCUUUCAACAAAGAAAGAUGCUAUCUUGACUUUCUUGAUGUGCUAUAUUUUUUCGGAUGACCAUCAUGGUUUUAUUCCAGAAAUGAAAAAACAGGCAGAAGAUCGAGAUUGUGAUUUUGCGGGAAUUUAUUUCUCGAAAGAAUCUGUUUUAGGGUGUCCACUAGGUAUGCCCCAACUUCAUGUAUUGCAGGCUUUCAGGCCAGACCUAUACUUUAGCAAGAAAAGCUCUUAGGUGGUUAUCAUCCUUCAGGUUCAUGUUACUGUCAGAAAGUAACAACAUGAACUAAGGUCUGCAAACACUGUAGCCAAUACAUUAGCCCUUCUUCCCAGAUUAAAACCAAGAAAGAAAAAACUUGUCAGGGCCUCUAGCCUAAGUAUUUGUUGCUUGGGGAUGUGUGUGUUAGCCAAGGAUUAAUGACUAUACAAAAUUUUUACAUAUCUAUUCCAGUUAGAUGAAAAAGCUUGAAUUGGCACAAAGAGCAUAUUAUACCACUCUAUUGCACAUCAUCGACUAUAAAUGAGGGAACAAAGUUGAGACAAAGCGCACAAAAUAAUUCAAAAUAACUUCUAUUUAUUAGGACACUUUACAUGCACAGCUGGGCUCGCUUUCAAAUUGUAGGAUCGAAAAUAUGGUCUGCACAAAUGUCAGAAUGAGCAACACAAGAGCAGCUGCAAAUGAGAUGAUGGACCAGGGGUUAUUGAAAUAAUUCCUCAUCAGAUGAGCUCUCCAGAUGUUCCAACGCCGGCUAGAAUACUCGUUCACUUGCUUGAAAACUCUCGAGUAACAGAAGAAAUCGUUGGCUGCCUCAGUCUCGACCUCCUUCACAAGACUAUUAAACACUGAAGAUAUCGCUUUAUCAUCACCUAACCACUUGGUUAUAAUUUUUUGGUGUCGAAGCUUUUCAACAUCCCUUGAGGAAUCAAUGAGACUAUCCAUGAACGUGAGAUAAUCAAUUACAUAUCUUCUAUCAUCCAGUCCAUUAAUCAUGUAAAGUUCAAACCCAAUUAAGUUUCUGAAGACGCAUUCUGUAACAUCAUGAACGUCCAGAGUCGGGAUUUUCAUUACCCCCUUUUCAAAAGCAAUAUCCAGCCACGAUACACUUUUGUUAGCCGUCUCAAACUUUAUCCCGGCUUGUUUCAGUUCGCUUGCGCAUUUUAUGUGCUCGUACACCUCGCCACUUGUGGAACAAUUGUCUUGCGAAUCCCCAUUCUCUUGGCUUUGAUGAUCAGCUACUCGUUUUGCAGCAAAUGAAAAACAGUGCAAGCUGCUAGUAAUUUUGGGUAGCUGGGUUGCGGAUACACCUUUUUCCAAAUCCCAGCUGCUUGUGGAAUAAAUGUCAUGUGGAUGCCCGUUUUCUAGGCUUCGAUUAUCAGCUGCUGGUUUUGCAGCAAAUGGCCAACAUGCGCUGCCAGCAAUUUUAUGUAGCUUGAUUGAGGAUUUUUUCAUUAGCUUCAACCACCCGCCUCUUGUAGAAUGAAAGCCUUGUGGAUCCCCGUUAUCUGGGCUUCGAUUACCACCUGCUAGUUUUCCAGCAAAUGACCAACACCAGCACUCGUGCACCAGGUGAAGAAGAUGAACGACAUCUCCAACAUUUCCAGCAAUGUUUGUGGUAGGAUUCGGUAAUGAUACAGGUUUCUCACCUGGGAAAAAGAAAUGCAGAGGUGAAUCGGGGAAAAUUGCAAGAUCAAUGAGGUUCUCCUCCUCAGCUCCUCCAGGUGACUUAGUCAUUUCAAGCAGACGAACCAGGAUGAAGAAAGGCAGUUGAUUUUCAAACAAUAGUAUGUCCCUGAACAGACAUCCCAUUAUCCUACGAUUCAGGAAGAUGGGGUCACCUUGUUGUGGGACGUAAUUAAGGGGAUACUCUUUGUACAGGCACCAACCAGCAUAUUUCCUCAAAAACUCAAUGAUAAAGAACCCGUCAAGUAGCAUCAUUUCCACAAAUUCAUCACUACCAAGACCAAUCAUAUCUUCUUCUGCAUACCAACUUCGAGCUCCCUCUUCAAGGUCUUUUAAGGCAUUGAUGUAUCUCUCAGUACUUGACUCGCCUCUUCGAAGGAGAAGCUCUUUCAAGUACCACAGCUUAUACGUCUGCGCUUUUACCAAGUUUUCCUUACCGUGAUGAUAAGGCCCGAUAGAGAACAUCUGUGGUUCGUACGCCACUUCAUUUUGGCUGCGAAGUUUAUGAUCGACUCUGAAAAUCCGUUGCUUGCUAAAUGAAUUUGAUAGCCCAGAAAGCUUUCGAUCAAUACGAGUGGUCAGUCCUUUGUCCUCAGACAUCUUAGUAUAUGUUGUUGAGUAGAAUCAGAAUACCACUGCAGGACCAAAGUGACAGAAAAUUAAUCACAAAGUUGGUUCAGAAAAGGUAAAGUAGAACAAUAAUGGCAAGAUUAAACUCGCUAUUUACUCAACUCUCGUUCAGAUUACUUACAUCUUACCCGAAGACCAACAAUUUGCGUAGUUAUCUGCGAGUAAUCUUGAUUUGCUCGAGUUACAAAUGCACUUGAGGCCUGGCCAGGAUUUUAUAGUGCAGCACGAGCUCGUGAAAAGAAUGAAUUACUACUUUUUAAGUCUUAUUCUUGAGAAGAUGCAGAUCAGAUAUGUAUUAGCUGAUACAUCCAAAUUGCUACGUAAGAUGCCAAGCAAUUUCCUUCAGUAAACUACAAUGUACAACAGUUCUCGUGGAGAGACUUGUUGACUUGUUCUCGUGGAGAGAACAGUUCCUCUCCGUUGACUUGUUGAACAAAAAAAGUAUGCCUUGCUUAAUAAUCCAAACACCACACAAUAGACAAUAGCACAACGGAUCUUCUGUCUCACAUUCUGUGCUACUCUCUGUCCCAUUUUUUAUUAUAUUGCUAUUUCUCCUUCAUAAACAUCAUGUUUUAAUUCUUUUUUGCUUCCUUAAGAUUCAAUAACUAUUAAUUAAGUAAAAAAUAAAUACAACAGCUUCAAAAAAGUAAUAUAUAAUAGAAAAUUAAAAAAUACAGCAGAAAAUGAGAUUUUUUAUGAAUUUUCUACUGUAUUUUUUAAUUUUCUAUUAUAUAUUACUUUUUUGAAGCUGUUGUAUUUAUUUUUUACUUAACUAAUAGUUAUUGAAUCUUAAGGAAGCAAAAAAGAAUUAAAACAUGAUGUUUAUGAAGGAAAAAUAACAAUAUAAUAAAAAAUGGGACAGAGAGUGGCACAGAAUGUGGGACAGAAGAUCCGUUGCGAAUAAAUAGUGCAUAUUCAUUGGUAGACGGAUCUGAAUUGUCCACGCAUUGAACCUUCCUUGACGGUGCUAAAUAGGGGCGUACAACUUGACCCGGUGAUCCGCAAAAGCAUAUCCGAUCCGGAUUCGAUCCGAAUUAGUGGAUAUCCGAUCUGACAGAUCGGGUCACAUUCAAGUCAAAAGAGUUAUGCAGAUUACAUUCAAAUCAUUUUUUUUGUGAUUCGCAGAUAUCUAAUUUGACCAGCAUAGUAUUUUGUUAUUUUUAAAAAUAUUUAUACAUUAAAUUCACGAAUUUAAAAUAGUUUUAUCCCUUGUUUCCUAUUUUAUUUUUAUGUCCUCUUCCAAAACAAGCUUCUUUGUACACAAUAUUAAGUUUUUAAACAUAUUGUCAUAAAAUUUGUUGACAAAAAAUUUGUAAAUGAAAUAUUUGAUCUUAUUUGUUUGAAUCAAAAUAUGGAAGUUACUUUCAAUUGCAUAAAAAAAGAUUAACUUCUCCUAAAAACUUUUUUAUAAUUAAAAACUCAUACUAUGUAUUUAUAUAAUAUUUAAAAACUCAUUUAUAUAAUAUUUUUGAAACUCUAAUAUAUUUAAAUUUUAUUUUAUCUUUAGAAUUUUUAGUUUUUUAAAAAAAAAUUAAGAAUCGAAUGCAAAUCAGAUAUCUAAUUGAUCUGAUCCUCAUAAUACAUAUAUCCACAUUAGCAGAUUUGAAUACAGAUCACAAAAUGACCAACCCAAUUUUUGUGGAUAUGGUCAAAUUUUGGUUCACGGGUCGGAUAUCCGACCAUCCAAAAUUUGACCAACAAUUGGAAGUAAAUUAAGAAAUAGUUGUUUGAUUUUUCUUUUUCUUUUUGUUUGGUUUGGAAAUUCAACUUGUACAAAACCAUGGGUAAAGCUUAUAGUACAAGUGUGCAGAAGAAAAGUCGCCAAUACAGGCACGUGAAAACUUUUAGUGUGAUUAGGGAUGGCAACGGGGCGGGGUUGGGGCGGGGGACCCCUCCCCCGUCCCCCGCCCCGUUGCCUAUUAGUUCCCCCCGUCCCCCGCCCCGUCCCCCGCCUCCUGCUCCCCCCGCCCCGCCCCGCCCCGCCCCGCUUCCCCCACGGGUGCCCCCGCGGGAUUAAUAAAAUUUUAUUAUAUAAUUUUAUUAUAAUUAAAUUUUAAUAAAUAAUCAAGUACUAAAAUAUCAACACAUCACCAAAUUAUUAUUUAUUGUAAUUUUACAAUUGAAACUCAUAAAAACAAUCAAACAAAAGUUAUUUUAAUACAAUCCAAUAUGAUGAAAUAAAUAUAACUAAAAUAGUCAAGUUUUCACUUUUAGUACAAAUGCAAUCACUAAUUCAUUAUUGUGUUUGUGCUUUUUUUUUUAGAAAAAAGUGUUAUUCUAUUAAGUGUAAUUAGAAAUUUAGUAUAAAUAUAUUAGUAAAUUUAAUAUAACUAAUUAAUAAAUUCUAUUAGUAGACAUGUAGAAUUAUUCAUAUAAUUGAUUAUAUCAAUUAUAUUACAUAAACUAAUAUACAUUAUAUAGUAUAUCUAACUAAUAAUAUCAUUAUCAUAAGUUUAUAACUAAUUAACUUAUAUGUUAUAUAUAAUUAUAUAUAUUUUUAUAUUUUUUUUUUGUUUUGCGGGGGGCGGGGCGGGGGAUGGGGCGGGGGUAUACUCCCCCGCCCCCCGCCCCGUUUCUAAGCGGGGGGAAAAAAUUCCCCCCGGCCCCGCCCCACCCCCCGCCCCAACCCCCGCCCCGAGAGCCCCCCGCGGGGCGGGCACCCGCGGGCACCCGCCCCCAUUGCCAUCCCUAAGUGUGAUAGCCUGUCUGGGAGAAUGGGUUGUGUCUGAAAUAAAAAAUUAAUUAAACAACACAAAAUAGUGGGUAAGGAUUGUAAUUAAACAAACCCAUCAUAAUCUUAGAUAUUUUUCGAUCAAUUUAUCUAUUGCCGUAAGAACUGCCUUGGUGAGAAAUAGAUAGAUUGGAUGAUACGAAAGAAGAAAAAAAAAUGUAAAUAAGUAAGAGGUCUUAUUUGACCAAAAAAAAAAAAAAAGUAAGAGGUCUCGAACCUCUCACUUAUACUUUAAAAAAUGUUACUUUAAAAAAUAUUAUGAAAAAAAUUGGUUUCGUCUAUUUAUUAAUGUGCCAGUUGGAUGUCAAUUACCUUGUAUUGGAUCUGUGGUGGCUGAUCAGCUACAAGUUUUAGCUUGUUUGGUGACUCUGUAGAAGCUGUAAUGCAGCUGUGGUUUUGGGUAAAUUACACAUAACUCCCUAUAGUUUUACCUAUUGGCAUAUGUUUUCUCUAAUGUUUCAAAAUAUCCACUUUAUGCUCAUAUAAUUUCAAGUAGAAUGAAAAUUUGAUGGAAAAUAGUCUAUGUAACUUCGUUGAUAGGUCAUAAUUUGUUAAUAAAUUUAUAAUUAUUUUUCCCUUGAUUUUAGCCAAAUAUUACUUUAAUUGUCGGAUUCUACUUAUAUUUGGUGUUUUAUAUUAAUUGCAGGGCAUUGGAGUAAAAAGUGCUAAAAAGAAGUAAUUUUCUUAGAGUUGAUUGUCAAGCGCAAGUGUUCCAAUUCAAGAUGGAGUCUACGUGGAGCAUUGGUUGAAAAUUAGGAAACUGCCACCUUUUAUUAGAUGUUUUAUUAGGGAAUAAUUAGUAUUAUGUUUUAGAAGGUUUCCCUUUUUCAAUUAGAAUUGGAGUUCUAUUCUUUUGCGAGCCUUCAGUUAGUGGAGGCCAAGGUAUUAGUACUUGAUAGGAAACAAAGCAAAUAAGAGGAAAGAAAGCCGGAUCCCGCGGGAUUGCUACUUGGCCAGGGCUCCUGUUUGACUUCGGGCAGGAAACAAUAAGAAACGUGAGGGCACUAGACUUGGUCUCCACUUUUGUCUCCUUUGGCCGACUUUGAAAAGGAGAAUUGCUUUGGUUUUUAUGGGGCCGAUUUUUACUUUUCUUCCUGGACAGAAUUUGGGAAACAGCAAUUGUAAGCUUCGAAUAGGUUGGUUCUCCAUUAAUGGAGAACUAGCCUCUUAUUUCUAGUCAAGGGACAACUGAAGAUUUGGUUAUGCAAUUACUGUGAGAUCGUAUUUAUUUUAAUCGCUUUCUCAUUUAUUGGUAUUUAUAUGAUUCCUGCUUUUAAUUGUUAUAGCUCUUGUGUAUGAUUGAUUAGUGCGCAAUAAUUAAUUAUUCAUAUAGGCUAUUUUGCUAAAUAGGGGUAAUUGAAUCCGUAAUUGUUCGUUACCUCUAUCCCAGUAGCAACUGGCAUAAUUGGGUUUAUGUCAGGGAAACAUAUGAUCUAAUUUAAACAAACCCUCUUAGCGUGUUUGUUAGUUAGGAUUGGGUCUUUCUAGUUCUUAAUGCAACCUAGAAAUUAAAUCCUACGGCCUCGUCUGAAUCUGACAGGGUUCCCUUCAGCUCCUCCACGUGGACGGCGGAUGGAGGGGCCACGUCACCCCCCAAGAGUAACUUGGACGGUUGAGAUCAGCUCAACCCAAUACAAUGAACGGCUAUGAUUGAAGGUGCAUCGAUCAAGAAGCGGACUGAAACCCAGAUCCGGUGAAACCCCUCCAUAGGAUGAUGAAGUGGGACCCACAAAGACCCAAUCCUAACUAACAAACACGCUAAGAGGGUUUGUUUAAGUUAGAUCGUAUGUUUCCCUGACAUAAACCCAAUUAUGCCAGUUGCUACUGGGAUAGAGGUAACGAACAAUUACGGAUUCAAUUACCCCUAUUUAGCAAAAUAGCCUAUAUGAAUAAUUAAUUAUUGCGCACUAAUCAAUCAUACACAAGAUCUAUAACAAUUAAAAGCAGGAAUCAUAUAAAUACCAAUUAAUGAGAAAGCGAUUAAAAUAAAUACGAUCUCACAGUAAUUGCAGAACCAAAUCUUCAGUUGUCCCUUGACUAGAAAUAAGAGACUAGUUCUCCAUUAAUGGAGAACCAACCUAUUCGAAGCUUACAAUUGCUGUUUCCCAAAUUCUGUCCAGGAAGAAAAGUAAAAAUCGGCCCCAUAAAAACCAAAGCAAUUCUCCUUUUCAAAGUCGGCCAAAGGAGACAAAAGUGGAGACCAAGUCUAGUGCCCUCACGUCUCUUAUUGUUUCCUGCCCGAAGUCAAACAGGAGCCCUGGCCAAGUAGCAAUCCCGCGGGAUCCGGCUUUCUUUCCUCUUAUUUGCUUUGUUUCCUAUCAAGUACUAAUACCUUGGCCUCCACUAACUGAAGGCUCGCAAAAGAAUAGAACUCCAAUUCUAAUUGAAAAAGGGAAACCUUCUAAAACAUAAUACUAAUUAUUCCCUAAUAAAACAUCUAAUAAAAGGUGGCAGUUUCCUAAUUUUCAACCAAUGCUCCACGUAGACUCCAUCUUGAAUUGGAACACUUGCGCUUGACAAUCAACUCCAAGAAAAUUACUUCUUUUUAGCACUUUUUACUCCAAUGCCCUGCAAUUAAUAUAAAACACCAAAUAUAAGUAGAAUCCGACAAUUAAAGUAAUAUUUGGCUAAAAUCAAGGGAAAAAUAAUUAUAAAUUUAUUAACAAAUUAUGACCUAUCAAUUUUCCCCACACCUAAACUAUGCUUGUUCUCAAGCAUGAGAACAUAAAUCAAGUAAUCAAAUUCAAACAAUGGCUAUUGCUCAAAUCUUCUAUUGCCACGAUAUAAUUAAAACUUAUGUCAAGUAUUAGUGGCACUUUUCAAGAAAUAUCUCUCCAGUUAGUUUUGAAGAUUAAGGACUCUUUCAAUUUAUGACUAACUAAUCUAAGAAUAUAAAAUAUUUAACCCGCAUCCAAAAGCAAAUGGUUCGACUAUUAAGCAAAAUCUCAACAAUAAAAUUCAUGGGUCAGCGGGCUAGCAAUUCAUUCAUAUUUUUCACUAUUAGCACUUUUUUUUUUUAAUAUCUCCACUUGAUUGAUUUUUUUUUUCUCGGGGGAAUGCUUAGUUUUCAGCCAUUCAAGCGUUUUGACGCGAACUCUGACAUUGGCCACAUGAAGGAGCCCGGUUACUCAGCCAUCGUCACUUAAAAAUCACAUACUCAUAGUUAUCGUCGCUUUUUGACGCGAAAGUCGACACUUGUGGUGAAGACCUCCGGUUACUAGACAACGAUACUAGCGGAGUAUAGCUGAAUACUAUUCAUAAAUAAGCAUCAAAAAUAAAAUUAAAUACCACACAAACCCGCUUCAUUUCUUAAACAUGGAGAACUAAGAUUAAUAGAUGAACCAAUUUGCACAAAAAAAUGCUAGACAAAUAUUUACAAUACUUAGAAAAGUUAACCAAAAAGUGCAAAAGUCACAAAAUCUUAAAUAUUCACCCAAAAGAUACCCUUAAAAUCAACCAUGUCAUACUCAACACCUUAAAGUGUAAAAUCUUAACAAUAGAAAAAUUUGAGACAUCUAACCAUCGUUUAUCAGGAAUAAUCACAAAUAAGCACAAAGAUAGGCAAAAAUUGGACAAAAUUCGACAAAGUCAAAAAAAAAUUCCAACAAAAAUGCAUACACUUGCACUUUUUCAAUAAAAUGCCAAUAUACUACCCCCCCACACCUAAAUCUUGCAUUGCCCUCAAUGUAAGCAAAGAAAGAGCAAAACAGAGAUAUUGGGGCAACGACACUUCCCUUAAAACGGAGGAGGGCAGAACUAAACUACGACUGGGGAGGGAAAGGCGGGUGGAAACCCACGUGAUGGAGAUACUGUGUUAAAUUCUGGGCCAUCCCGCCCAUUUGACGCUCCAUUCGCUCCAUACGAGUGUCCAUGUGCUGCAUCUGGAGCCGAAGGGCUGCAGGCUGGCUGUCGGCGGAGGAAGAUGGUGGAGGUGUCGCAGAGGACAGUCCGGGGUCCUCUCGGUCAAAUCGAGGGGGCAGAUCCACUCGAGGGGACUGUGGGCAGUGAGGUAGAGGUGGAAGGUUUGCUCUUGCCUUUGUUCUUGGGUUUGGUCAUUGGAUAUUAGUGGACAAGACAAAGACAAAGUAAUAGUGUUCAAAAUAUGUCAACAAACAACCAACAAGGCAAAUGACCCCCAAUCACAGCUCCCAAUCACAAACAAGUGCAGAAACGGAUAAUAAACUCACCCCAAAAACAAAUUAAACCUGUGAACGACAAAAUUUUUGCCAAAUACUACCAAUUCAACCCAAAAAUCAAUUAAUUAGAUAAACACAGCAAAAUUUCCCCAAAAACUAAUUAAACAGGCAACUAGAGUAAAAACUUUUCCCAAAUAUCACUGAUUGCGCACAAAAUUUGACGAUUAGUAAGCAAUCAACCACAGAUAUAUACCACAGCACCCAAACAAGCACACAAUUUCUGUCCUCAGCUAGCAAGUCAACAAUCUAGCCUCAGCUAAGAAAUUAAAAUCUGGCAUCAGCUAAUAAAAGCUAGUAAUCUGGCCUCAGCUACUUAGUGACAGAAAAAUAAAGAAAGAAUUCACCGGAGGUUUGGAGUAGGCAGUGGAUGACAGUGGAGAGCAGAGGCGGCAAAGAGGUGGCGGAUUGCACCGCGCGUGCAUCGCACGCGCUAGAGCAGAGGUGACGGCUGGCACGAUGGGCUCAGCUGCUUGUUUGGAGCGCGCAGAGGGCGCCUGAUUGCUGAGCGAAGGGCUAACUUGCGCGGACUGGCUGCUGCGAGGGGAUCGUGCGAGGAAGCUGCUGAUGAUGCGCGCAGGGACUGGGUGAGCACUGACAGCGCGCGCUGAGGAUAGUGCUCGGACAGCCGCUGGCGGAGGAGGUACGGCACGCGACGAGGUGUGCGGCUAGUGGGCGAGUGGCGGCGGCGCGCGACGGGGUUGCUGGUUGCCCCGUGCUGUCCGCCGGCGUGUAGGAAGAGGGCGCGAUGUGGGCUUGGCGCGGUGGGCGGCGGCGGACAAGCGGGUGGCGGCUGAAGAAGAAGCAAGAAGAAAAAGAAAGAAAAGGAAACAGAAAGAAAAAGAAAGAAAAAGAAAAGAAAGAAGAAGAAGAAAAGAGUAGGGCUUCGUGCCCUUUGACAAUUUUUUUUUUUUAAAAGGUGGGUAAACGAAGAACUCCUGUCUUAGGCGUGGGCACGCCUAAUUGCUCAUAAUCUUUUGACCAUCCGUUGAAAAUUUAUUUUUGAUCCUUUAGCGUGACCACCCGACGUGGGCACGCUUAACUGCUACAAAGUCUUCUGACUGCAGACGAAAAUUUUUUUCCCUCAAACGUGACCACCUGGCGUGGGCACGUUUAACUGCCACUUUCCUGCCACCAAGCAACAAAUCACUAAAUGCAACUAACACUUAACAAAAACUCCAAAAACAUAAGAAAAUUAAAACAAAAGCCUUGGGUUGCCUCCCAAGCAGCGCCUUUCUUUAAUGUCUUUGGCUAGACAUUGUCCUGUUUAUUCAUGGAGGAUAAAAUCGCGUAACUCGCUUCAGUGCUUCAUCUUCUAUGUAAUCCUGAUAGCCCUCGCAAAUAGAGUAAUUCUUGAGCACACGAGCUACGGUCUUCCAUGGACUAGUAGAUGGCACCAAACAACCAAGUAAUGACCUUAAAUCUUCAUUCACUCCUCCAUCACAAGCACUUACUGGUUUGAGAUAUUUUGCCAUAAUGACUCUUAACUUAUUCUUGGCAUGAAACUCAAAAUUUUCUGGUAUAAUAAAAUCAAUCUUACUAACAGGAAUUAAAGAAUAAGAGUCAGGAAAAUAUUGAUCAAGGAAUGGAGGAGAUGUCACCGCAUUUGGAGAUUGUUCACUGGAUUCAUUCACUUCAGUGAUUUGAUGUUGGGGUCUCAAUUCUUGUGCUUCAACUUUCUUUUCAACUGCAUCUUUAGAUUCUUCUUCUUGAGACUCUUGCAGUACCAUGUCAUUUGUCAGAAUAAUUGCACUCUCAUCUUCCUCAUGGUCGAUAAUAGUCGGUGAGGGCAAUUCUUCAUAAACUGGAGAAAUCAAUUUGCUCAUUUUAGAUGCCCAUUCAAGCCUUCCUUCUUUCAUCUCUUCACUCAUCCUUUGUGUCUCCUGUUGAAGUUGAUGUACCUCCUGUUGAAUUUGAUAUGUGUUAGUAGCUAUUAAUUCAACUAUUUUUUCAAGAGACAAACCUGACAUGGAUGACGGUUCUUGAGACUCUAGCUGUUGAAAAUCUAUUGGCCUUUGUUGAUAAUUAAAAUUGGAAUCAUCCCACCAUCCUUGCUCAUACCCGUUUGAAUAAGGGUCAUACCACGUUUGAGAUCGGGGUGAAAAAUCUCCAAAUUUUUUGUUGAGAUAGUCACUCAGGUAGUCUUGAUAUUCGGGGCACAUACCGGUUGAAUGAUCCCUGGCAUAACAAAUUUCACAGGUUGCAGCAGCCAUUCUUUCUCUAAUAGAAUUUAGUGCCUCUGAAUAUGCAAACUUAGAAAAAAAAAAAAAAACAAGUCUCAUUGCCUUACUUAGAUACUAAAUCGAACAAUGACCUAACCGUCAUGUAUUAAAAAUAGGAAGAUUAUGUGGAUAAAAACGACAAUUACAGGGGUGAUCAUAGGGAUUAAAUAGAUAUUAUAAUUCCAUCACAUAUACUUUUGAAGCUCUUCUAGUUCAAUCAAAGUAACCAAUGGUACAUUCCCUCGAUUUGCUACUUUACAUAAACAAUAGGAAAGUUAUAUAGUUAUUUUGAAACCUUAAAAGGAUCAUCCGGCAUUGUACAAAAUCACAUGUGGAGUUAUAUGUAAUUUACCCUUAAAUUUAUCAUACUCCAGUAGAUGUUUACAACCACCCUCAAAUGCAUAGUAGAGGAGAUUUUGAUCUUUAACAAUAACAUUGGAACAAAUUGUUAGAAUUAUUUUCAGAUUUGGGUUUCCACUUAUUAUGUUUGUUUUGUUAAAAUGGGUUAAAUGAAAACCAAUAAAACUCUCUAAUAGUAUGAUCCACUAUAUAUGGGGCCUAGUUAUAUCUUAGUCAUCUAUUUGGAGUGAUAUGUAAAGUAUAGAGCUUGUAAUUCAUAUUAGGAUUAUUUAAAUGAGAGGUCCUACUGCAGUUAUAAAAGGUUAGGUCUCUCUCAACAACAACAUCAUUUUGUUAGACUAGUUUACCCUAUUAUAUAGAACUUGGAGAGAGCGGAAGUCACCUAUGUUAAACACACGUAUCACAAUGUAUCAACCAAGUUUCUUGUGCAUCUCUCAAUCUCUAGUUUAAUCUUUGAUCAAAUAUCUAAUAUUGAGAUAUUGGAAAAUCCUACACAAAUCUCCGAGCAAUUUGGACAAACAAAAUAACUUUUAAAGGAGUUUUGAAAUUGGAUUCCCAGGAGAUUCUGAGUUCAAAAUUUUCUUAUCUCUCUUUACUUCUUAACUAGUGUGAAUACCCGUACUACGCACGAUGCUGACAUUAUUAAAAAAUAAACAUAAAAGGGUGAAUUAAAAAAGGUUAAAAAAUUGUACCAACACAAUUAAAAUAUAAUAUCUGUCUAACAAUAGUUUGAAAUAUGAUAGAAUGUGUAUAUUAUUCAAAAAUUACCAUUUUUUGGAAGAUAGAUCAUGAAAAAAUAAUAUAAAUUUAUAUUAGAAAAUGAAUGAUAUAUGAAUAAAAAUGAAUGUAAUUAAAUGUUGUUAAAAUAAAAUAUUUACAAAUAUUAUGCAUUCGAUUUGAUAAUCUUGCAUGAAGGUGCGAACACUCUUCACACCAAUCAACUUUUAGUACGAAAGCCAAAAUUGGUGAUUUAACUACAAAUGAAAAUGCACGAUCUUUGCAUGAAUUGAUUCGUUGGUUGAACAACCUAUCACCGUUGUCCUGAGAAUUAAGUACGUGUGAAAUUCAAAAUUAGUGUAUUUUUUUUACAUAGUUUAUAAAUAGCAUUAUAAAAAAUAAAUAGCAUUAUAAAAAAUAAACAUAUAUCAAGAAAUUCUAUCUUCCUUUGUAAUUCUCUGAGAUAAAAAGCAUUACAAUCAAAUAUGAAUCGUGCAUGUUUAUCCUGUAGAUUAAGAUUCAUGUUACCACUAGAAUCUUUGAUUUGUAUGUUAACAUUGUACCUGUUUGACAAAUAAAAUGUUAUAUACAAUACAGAAAAUUUUGUUAAAAUUAAAGGUACAUGAAAUUAAUUACCUAACAAUAGUGUCGAUCACGUCAUUACAAUGCAUACACAAAUUUGAUUGGGUUUGUUUAAUUACGUGUGGGAUUGUUUAAUUACAACCCACUGUUGUGAGGGAGUGGGUAAGGAUAUACUUUAAAUGAACAUGUACCCAAAAAAAAAAAAAAAACAGUGUGAUAGCUUGUCUGGGAGAAUGGGUUGUGUCUGAUCUAAAAAAUUAUGUGAGGGAGUGGGUAAGGAUAUAUUUUAAAUGAACAUGUACUUAAAAAAAAACUGUUCUUUUUUUUUUUUUUGUUGAGAGUAGAAAAGGAAGUUAAAAAAUAAAUAAAUGAAGUGUUUGAUUCAUAUUCUGAUGAAAAACACACUUGGAUUGAAGUUUUUCGUAGAAAAAUUUUUAUAUUUUCUGUGAUCAUAUUUUUUAAUUAUUUUUUAUCUCAUAUAUAUCAAAUUAUUACAGUAAUUUUCUACAAAAAAAAAAUCUCUAGAAAUUAGCAAUUCAAACAAGGAAUUUCAUUUGGAAGAAGACAAUCUUAAUUAGUUGGGAAACAUGGUGGAUAAAAUUCUAGAAAUAAAGUCUUCUAUUUUACUCAUACAACCAUUGAAACAAACUAAAUAUGAACCACAAAAGUAUCAUGACUUAAUCAUGUAAGGACCAAACAACAGUCAGUACAAGGGCUGCAAUUUCUGGGAAAGCUUUUUAAGUAGACUCCAUACAACCACAUUUUUACUAGACAUACUCUUUGUUAUGACUUUUUGUUAUCGAAUAUUGAUAAACAACAGGCGUGGAGAUUUUGAGAUUUUCUUGGGACAAAGUAGGAGAAUUGGAUAGAGGAAGUAGAGACAAAGUAGGUAACUAAGGAGUAAGACCACAAAAUCUGAUAGAUUUUGUUUGGAUAUGUUAGUUUUCUCUCCAAACAAUUUUUUACUUGCAUCAUACAUAUGCUUUCUUCAGUUACCUUUUCUAAAAUCUUUUCAACGAUUUUUUUAAUCUCACAUUCUUCACAUAAUAAAAAAAUACUACAAUAAUACUUCAAAAAAAUUCAAAAAUCUCCUAUAUUUGCUAUUUAUAUUUCGGACGCACAAUUCUUAUUCCUCUUCCAAAAAGACUUUCUUUAUGUUUUACCAUGUAGCCCAAGAAAAACUGAAGAGUACUCUCAUAACUACACACUAAUGAUUCGCAAUUUUUUAAAUUUAUUGUAAGGAUAAAUUACUUUUUAUUCCCCUGUGAUUUGGUGAUUUAUCACAUAAUUCUCCUAUCAUUUUAAAAACGUAGAUAUAACUCCCCCCUCCCCCCCCCCAUAUUUGGGUCAAUUUGUCACCAUUAAUUUUUUUCGUUCAAACUAAUUGGCAAUAGUAAAAAAUCAAAAUCAAACUAAUAACUUUAGGAGAGGAGAACUUCAUAUAGCUGAAUCAAGUGGUGGGGGGUACCAGCUAAAAAUAAAAAAUAGAUAAUGUGAUAGACGGGCAACGAAAUUUGGAUCCUAAUGUGUGUGGGAAAACUCUUGCAGGCCCAUGAUAGGAACUACACCCAUGGCCCAACUGACGGAAAUGAAUCUUAAUCAUGGCCCAUGAUAGGAGCUACACACUAAUAGUAUUAUUGAUUUUAAUCAUGAUUCUCUAUCUUAAUAAAUACUAGUAAAAAAUGAAUUUUUGUGCCACUAUGACAGGAGAGUCACGACUGCUUGCCCAGGAUAAGGGGCAUGACCGUCCCUGAACAGUUCAUAACCAGGAUUUGGCCACAAAAAAUUAUACGAUCCAAAUCACUUCUUGUUUAUCAAUUUUCAUAACGUGUGUGGAGCCCACAAAAUUUUGUUUUAAAGUUACACGUUGUGCAUACAAAGUUAUGAUGCGUACAAACAAAGUUACGCGGUGUGCAAAAUGCACAAAUGCAAUCGUUCCUGCCCGUGGUCCACUUGCCAAAGAGGAGUCAUUGUACGGGGAUUUGGCUCAUCUCUAGUGGAUUUUCUUUCCAUUUUCUAUAAUAUAUAUUUGGAUAUAUGACAUGUAUUUACAUUUAUUAAGAAGGGACGUGAUCAUUUUAAAUUUAACUAAUCCUAACUCUUAUUAAUAAAUAAAGACGUGUGUCAUGCAUCUGGAUGUACAUUGCGAGAAUGGAGAGAGAAUUCAUUGGAGAUAAACCAAGUUCAUUAAAUGGAACCUAACUGCAAUCAUCCCAAACAAUUAUGUCCAAUUUUAACAAUGGGCCUGCAAAAAACCUAUACUUAGCUCUUAUGGGGAUCGAUUUUUGGGACAAACUGUAUUUGCACUUCCAAAUUUGUAUUGUAUUUUCACUUUGUAUCUUAAACUUUAAUUUUAAACAUUUUACAUUUAACCUUUCAAUUUUAAAUACUUUACAUUCUAAACUCUCAAAUUUAUCCCAUUUAAAUCUAAUCAAUGACAUUAUUAGCAAAAUGAAUAAGAUAAAAAAAAUGAUGCAAAUUGAUGACAUUGUAUCGUUUUAUUGUAGUUGUGUUUCCUUAGCUCUUUUUGACCACAUCAACAUAGUAUCAUUGAAUUAUAUGGUUCUAAUCACUAAUACUUUUAGCAAAAUUAACAAAAUAAGAGAUGGAACAAAUUAAUGACAUCAUGUCAUUUUUGUUGUAACUAUAAUCCCUUAGCUUAUUUUGGCCACUUUCAACAUAAUGUCAUUAAUUUAUAGGGUCUUCUAUUUCAUUAAUUUUAGUAAUGUUGUUAUUGAUUGAAUUUAAAUGAGAUAAACAUAAAAGUUUAUGGUACAAAAUAUCCAAAUUAAGAGUUUAGAGUACAAGGUGUCCAAAAUUAAAGUUGAGGAUGCAAUAAAGUGGAGUUAAUGAUUUUUACGGUAAUAUCACCUCCAAUUGAACUAGAGUUUAGUUGAGGAGCAAUAAAAAUUUGCAACAAAAAUAAGAGAUGGAGACUAAGUAGAAUCUAAAUACUCAAAUAUAAUUUGGGAUAUGCUUGAGAAAGCGAGACGGGAUCCCAAAUUGUUAAUCUUAGUAGUUAACACUCAAGUUGGUAUAAGAGCGAUUGGCUUAGUGGCAUUGAGUCGGGACUACGUAAGGAGGUGUGGGUAUUAAGUGUUGCAUAAGUCUAAAGUCAUGUUUGAUAACUCAAUUCAGCACUUGAAUUUAAUGGAUUCAGAUUUUAAUAUGUUCAGUUGCGUUUGAUAAUCAAAAUACAACAUUUGGAAUUAGUUAAGUGGUACUAAAUUUCCUAAAUAAAACUUGAUUCCAAAAAUAAGUGAUAGGCUAUUCUUUUUUCUUUUUUUGACAGCAACAAUAACAUUCUCAUAAUCUAAUCUAUUUUAUUCGCUAGCAGGUAUAGAGACUUGGUUAGACUAAAGUAGUGUUCUAGCACCUCCUUUAAAAUUUUUUUAAUUGCAAGUGGAGUUUUCCCUCUCCGAACUAUAGUCCAAAGAGGAUCUUAGUACCUUUUUGGUGGCCACUGAACCAAAGUUUAAUGUGAUACACACUCAAAUAUAUCAAAUUUAGUACUUAACUAUUCAAUAAUUUAAUGAAUUUAAAUUUCAAAUUUCAAAUUUCAGUUUUAUGAGACGCAGCUUAACUACUACAUCAGUAAGGAGCCAUUUCUAUAAGCCUUAUAAGCUAUCUCUAGAGUCUUCUACAACAGAUUUAGCCCAGAUGUUACCACUAAGUGCACGCAGCAAUUGCAACAUAGGCCAAGAUCCGUGUUUUUCCUGCCCAAAAUUCUUUUGUUUCGGCACAUGUUUUUACUCUUUCCUAGCUCAAUAUCACGUGGCUGCAUGCUUAUUUCUUAGACUCCAAAUUCCAUUUUCGUACAUAUAUUUUUAAUUUACAUAUAUUAUAUUUAUAUGUAUGCCCUCAUGAUCAAGGCAUUCAAUUUUCCAUUGUAUUCUUUUUAUUUUUUAUUUUUUUGUAUACCUAUUCAAUCGGUCAAACCUGUCCUCUUCGUAACUGAUCAAUAGCAUUGGUGUCGGGUUCUAAACUUGUAAAAUACUAGUGAUACUGUAGUAGUUAGUUCCCAAUCCCAUUGGCGUCGCGUUUUAAUUGUAGAACACUAGUGGUAUUGAGGGUAUUAUUAUUAGUGACUAAAUUAAUACAAUAUAAUCUCCAUGUCAAUAGCAAAAUUUGAGCACACGUCCCUCUGUGAGAAAGUAAUUCGGGAGUGAAGGUACUGGUGGUCUGUUUCUAGUAUCCUAGCAGAGUUUAAAGACUGAAUUGGAGUCUUUGCUGCUCGUUUGCUUUAUAAAUAAUUGCUUACUCCUUUUAAUUUAUCUAUGCAUCUUUAUCUACCAAAAAAGAUGCUAAAAAUUUGAUAGGGUACCUUUGGUUACAGCUUGUAGGAUGAUCUUACCUUUUUUUUUUCUUUUUUUUUUUGGGUAAGUAAGAGUCGAGGUCCCUUUACAAUUGGGGAAUAUGACAUAAUGGAUAAUUGAUACAACCAAUUAAUAGAGAUAGAGAAGAGACUAAACAAGGAUCAACUUAAUUAUAGGGAGAUAAUCAGUUGAACUCCCAAGCCGCAGAAGCUUUGUGCAGAAUAUUCAGUGCUUUAGAGCCCAGCUGACAAAGUGAUCCUCAGGAAGGAAAUGGCAGAUUGGAACACUUCCAGGCUUCACCUUUAGCAGCUGAAAAGCUACAUGUUUUGGGGUCCAUGCUGAUGUAUCCUCGUGACAAACUACCACAGCCUUGACUUUUGCCCCAUCAUCAGCUCCAACUAAAUUAACCCUAUAUGCAUCGGUACGCCGCAGGGUGUGACAGUAAAAAACUGCGUAGACAUAGUCUUGCUUGUGGCAAGCAACGAUUGCUUUAUCAUCGUCGUUCAACUUGAAAACAUUCACAAUAACAUAUUUUAAGAUUUUCGGAUCUGUUUUCUGGGCUUCGGUUGAAAUUGCUCCGACAUUUUUCCCCAGCUUGGAAGUUGUGAAAUCGACCAUCGACUCGAGAGAUGUCGCGCAGUACUUGUCUUCCACUUCGAUCCCAGGCUCCUCACAGUCUGCUAUCAGUUCCUUCAUAGCUUCGGCUUGUACUGAAUUUGGGUUCACUGAGAAUUUGUUCAAAAUUUCGGGAACAGAUUUGGACGAGAAGGGAAUGGAAUCAGCCACCUGGCGGGGUAGGAAGGCCGUAGUAUUGUCCAGUAAAUUAACAAACUGCAGAUUCAUGAUUGAGCCGCCAUGGAGGUCCCUUUUCAAGAAGAAAACUGUUACGUUUUGGUGAUUACGGAGUUGGGCUUCGGUAGGAUUUUUACCAUCUCUGACCACCCCAUGGCCAUAUGUAAAAUAUCUUCUACCAAAACGGAUUGGGAUGGCCAUAUCGGGACUUGCGCUGAGACCGCCAACUCCUGGAGGCUUUCCUGCAGUCAAUGGAGGGGCAACAAAGAAAAUUAUCAAAUAUUUUGAUGGAGCGAAUUUUAACACUAUUAAACUAAUAAUAUAUAACAUCAAAUAUUUCAUAUAUUUACGAGAUUUAAAUUUAUAUAAAAGAUAUAUAAGUAGCCAAUUUUCUAAAGGAGGAAAAAUCCAAACUUUUUAAAACUGGGAGGCCAUGGAGCAUUGGCUUUUUUGUUCUUUUCAGUUAGUAUCUACCCGAGCAAUAGAAGAAGCAGAACAAGUAGGAAAAAUAGGGAAGCGGCACUUCUGAGACUAACCGUUCUGUAUGAUAUCUCUGACCGCUUUCGGCAUUGGAGUGUUUGGAAGCUUGGAUUUCCAAUAAACUUCAAGAUCUGCAUGCUUUGCUGCAACGCCUAGCUGAUUAUCACGACACCCAGAAAGAGUUUUAUCAGUAAGUUCCUACGCUUCCCAAGUACAAGCAAAUUAUGACGAAUUUAAAAUAGCUUAGGUUCUCGAAUAAUUCACUCACAGAAACAGAUAUCAGAAAACAGAGGAGCUUGAGCAAGUCCAUCAAAUAAUAGCAGCCACGGUAGAACGCCAGUACGCAAGACCCAGCGAUGACGGUACUAGAACCCAAAAUUUUUGAGGUGAGGUGAGGUGAGGUGAGAUAGUAGUAGCACAAGAACCAUAUAGUACUAGCAUUAUUUAUAGUGGAUCGAAGAGCUGCAGUCGAGUGCUAAUUAUUUGAUCAAUUAUUCGAGAGUUGAGUGCUUGACAGUGACCACAGAAUAGUGGCUGCUCUUCAAGUGGCUUAAGGCUGCUUAACCACGGGAUGGCGGCCACCAGACUCAAGGCUGGUGGCUCGAGCGAUUAAUGGCUGUACUUGUCAGGUCUGCGCCAUUCAACAUCAAGUGUUUAUAUUUUAUAAUUAUUAUGUCCUUGAAACAAACGAAAUACCAAAUCAAAAAAAGGAAAAAAACAAAACAAAACAACGGAGCACUGACAUAGUUACUAUACACCUGCACCGUAACUACCAUUAAGAUUCUUCAUAGACGUAUCAUUGGGAAAGAGGCCACUCGUUUAUACAAGUGUACAUAAUUAUCACCUAAAUUUGCAGUGAGAAAGCUGGCAUCUUAUUUGGCAUAUUUUUCUUUUAAACGCUCUUUUAUUUUGUGUGGUAAGCAAGUACUUUAACUAGUAAGCAAUUUUUCUUAUUUGUAUGAUAUGACUUUAUUUCCUUUAUUAUUUCGAUAUUGGUUAUCCUGUAAAUAGAUGAAUUGCAUGCUACUGCAAAUAUAUGAACAAGAAAAGCCAUGUAAUCAUAAACGUGGGAUUAGAAAUGUUAGACAGGGAUCGUAUUUGGGAUUCGAGUUAUAAUUUUUGUAGGUGGAUUCUCUCUCACAUAAAAAAUAAUGGGCCUUUUUCUCUGUAAAUGUAGUAGUUCUGCUGAUUGAAACAAAUCACGUUAAAUCUUGUGUAUCACUUAUAUUUUCAUGAUUUGGCUUGAUUUUAUCUUGAAUUGUUCUACUCUUGAUUUUUCAAUAGUUAUUAGUUUCGUGCUUGAAUUCCAACAUGAUUAUACCACGAGAAAUCGUGAGUAUCUAAAUUCUCAUGUAAUGUGCCCAAUUACUGAUAAAGUAGUUACGACUAAAAACACAUUGAGAACUCAGCGUCUGGUAGUAUAAUACUGAACAACAAAAUCCCAUUUGCUAAUUAUGAACUGAUAAAAUAUGUUGAGAAUUCUAAGCACCUAAAAUUGUCUCCUAAGCUCACCUAAAUUCCGCAUAAUUAUGACACACGUAAAAGUAGGGAAUAUAUUAAAAUGCUGGAUACUGUUCUUUUAGAUGCGCCUCCAAAAUUAAGCCCAAACGAGGAAGCUGUUACCUCUAUGAGUGAUUCUUUGGUAUGAACAGAAGGUUAGUUAUAUGUGGUUUACAUGAAUAUUAAACUACAAUUAGUUGUAUAAUUAAAGCAUGUGGGUUUUGGUUAUGAGCUUGAAAAUUUGACCGUUUGCCAUCAACUUGCAUUUGGUUUUCACUGUAUACAAAACAAUAUAAAACAUUUAGAUAGCCUCGAUCUACGCACUCAUUUAUAGGCCAUAUGCUAUCCUGUACUACCUAUUGAUAUUUGAUCAUGUAAGAGAAGUGCUAGUAUAAAAUAUAUGCUCAUGCAAGAAAAUUUAUAUAACUAUUAUGAAAAAUCACUACGCUGCCAGUCUGUCAGCGCAUAAAUAAAAUUACUAUAUUAUUAGUAUAAAAAGUUAAUUCUUUUAAUAUACAUACAUACAUAUAUAUAUAUAUAUGCAUAUCUAUAUGAUAGAUCGUAAUUUUGUCAUUUAUUUUAUAAUUAAUUUUUUUAUUAUUUUAUUAAAUAUAAAUUAAUUGUCAGAUUCUAUUUAUUUUGCCAUUCAGGCGUGUUGCAGGGAGUUGGAACAAAGCACGGUAACAAGGUGCAAAUUUCCCAAUACAAUUGUAAUUUGGCGUAGGUGCGUCAAGUCAGGUCUUAAUAUGUCAAGAAAAUGCAAAUAAGGUGCCCGACACCCGUUGCCAAUUGGAAGUGCAGCGUGGGGCCGCUAACAUUCCAUUAGUUGAUUGUUCGAUUUGAAUUGAAAAAAGGCAACUUAUCAAAAAUAGGAAACGUGCCAAUUAGGAGAUUUCCUAACUUUUUUUCGGCUACGGUUGAUUAGGAGACAGAAGGGAAUUGCACAUUGUGGAGGACGCCACUCAGCUUUUGGAGAGGAGCUAGCCGCCACAAGUGGAGUCAAGAGAGACUAGGAGGACUCUUCGCCUUUUUCUUCUGGACAACCGUACACUAAGUAGGAAAUUAGAUAGGAAAGAGGGCAGGCAGUCAAUCUUGACUCCCUUUUUGCUCUUGACUUUUUCGUCUUAUUCAUGUGACUAUUUCCAUCGAAAACAUUAGUCAUUCUUUUUGGGUUUGUAGUUUCUCCUUAAUCUUGUUAUUAUUCCAUCGGCUUCUUCAUCUCAAUUUGGAGACAAUGUACGCGACAAUUGCUUCUACAAAUCUACAUGAGAUUGAUUCAACGGAGAUGAGUUAAAUCUAUUUUUCUAGUCAAGGAACAGCGGAAUAUUUGAUUCAACUUAAAUCGUGAGAUCUAAUUAAUUUUAUUUUUCCUUUUAUUUUUUGAUAUUCGUAUAUUUUUUGCUUUAUUCUCUUAUUAUUGUUGUAUUAAUCAAUUAUCUCUGGCCAGGAUGUUAGAUUAAUUCAAUAAUCUAGAAACAAUUAGAAUAAUUAAAUCCGUAAUUAUUUUAUUGUUAUAACUUAGUGGCAACUAGCAUAAUCGUGGUUAUGUCAGGAAAAUAUACAGGCUAAUUUGUAAACAACCCUCGUAAUGUGUCGUGGUUAGGAUAGGAUUUCUCUAAAUCUUAAAGCAAUUGUGGAAUUUAAUUUACAGCCGUAUUUAGGAUCAUUUUGCAAUUAGGGCAAUAGCUAACGGUCGUACCUUAACUAUCGAUAAUUAAGGAGAAAUUGGUUGUCAUUGCCCGUUUGACAAUUAUAACUUGUUUAUCAGUUUAUAUGCGGAAUUAUUCUUGCAUCAAUGAUUAAUUAGGAGAACCGUUUUCCGAAGUUGCUUCUUGACUAGAGCUGUCCAAUACUAUUUGAGUUUUUUCUGUUUGCCAUUUAAUUUUUAUUUAAUUGCAAUAUUCGAUUAGCAUAACUUAUUGUUAAUUUCCAUAAAAUCCUCCCAUAACUUGAACUUUAGUAGAAACAAAUUACUCCCAGUCCCUGUGGAUUCGACCCUACUUAUCACUAUCUAUAGAAAUUAUAUUUUGUUUGAGCAAGUAUUUAUUAUUGCACAGACUCGAUAACCUAUAUAUAUAUAUAUAUAUAUGAUUUAUAGAAAUUUUGCAGAUUAAAAAAAAUCUAGCUAAAAGUUGCCAAAUUAUUCUCCAUGGUAAUGGCUUUCAAACUCAUUUAACAUUUUUCUGAAAUUAAAAAUUAAACCUAGACUCCGGACUUUUUGAAGACGACAUAGUCCAUGGUCCCAUAUAUAAACUAAGUGAGUAGAUAUUUUGAAGCAUCAUGUUGCUGAUUUCAUUGUAUGAAAGCAUCAUGGUCCUUUUUGACGCUUAAUUUCGAUGUUAGAAUAUCAUCAUUGUAUAUAUGAUUUUUUAAACGGACAACUUGGGUAAAUUAUGUAUAAUAUCAGCUAAAAAACUUGGGUAAGAUAACCUGUUGUCCAAUGGUUAUCUAAGGUGGCGACCCUUCGAAUUGAAUACUGCGAGCUCUAACCUGUUGGCCUCCAAGCAUCUUUGGAGUAUUGGUUGAAACGUUCCACGAAGUUGUUUUAUAUCCAAUAAGUCAGUUCCCACGUUUCUAUUUUGACCUGACCAAUUUGACUUUGUUUUGUAAGAUAAUUAUUACUUAUGCACUUUAUAUCUAAUACAGUUCCAAUUUUAUUGAGAAUUCAACCGAAGAAUAAAAGUUUUCGUAAAUGGCAUUUCAACUUCACCCAAAUAGCAGGUUAUUAGAAAUUUCUUCCUUCACAUUUCUCUAUCUUUUUCCAUAAAUGGCAUUCUCGGCACCACUGUCACUUGUCGCCAGUAUUCGCCAGAAUCUCUGUCACUCGCCAUUGGCACUGUAGUACCUUGUUUUCCUAUGACACUGCCUUCAAAAGAAAAGAUCGAAAACUAUAAAUAUUUUAAAAACUUUUUGAGUUAUUAUUUGAGAGAUGGUAGUGAAGGUGGCCUUGAUGACCGGUGCAAUUGCCAAAAACAAAAAACAAAAAAAAAAGGAUCGAUAAGGAAGCAGUAACAGGAAUACGGGUAAUCGAGCCGAGUCGAGCUCGAGUCGGCUUAUAAGUAACUAUACUCGAGCUCGAAUCGAGCUCGAUCGAAUUGGAAAAUCUCAAAUUCGAGUUUGAUUCGAGGAAAUCUUUAAAAGCUCGAGACUCGACUUGAUAAGGCUCGACUUUUAGUCAAGCCUUAUCGAGUCGAGUAAUCAAGUUUUUUGACUCGAUACUUUGCUUGUAAAUUUAGCAUAAAUUAUACCCAUAACGGUUAUUUUAUAAUUAUAAUACAUAUAUAUUAUUUAAAUUAUAUAUAUUAUUUAAAUUAUACGACUCGACGAGCUGCAAAAUUCUGACUCGAACUCGACUCGAAUGUGUACUCGAGUAACUCGAGACUCGGCUUGAACUCGAUUUGACCGAGUUCAAGCCAAGUCAUUGACCGUAGCUCGCGAGCAGUUCAGUUCGCGUACAUUCCUAUUCAUUCAUGGGAAGAAGAAAGUAAAAACAAAAGAAUGUAAGUCAUUUCCUCCUAGGUUAAUUCUUAACCAAAGAAUGUAGUUGAAUUCCUUUGUACUUCAAAUCCACUCAUUUCAUAUCUAUACAGUUAAAAUUCAAUCUUAGUUGAAUUCAAAUUCACUAAUCCAAAAUUCCGUAUGCAUCCUUAAGAGAAUAGUAGAGAGGACAAUUUCUAUACUCAUCUUCCCUUGAGUUGCACUGGGGAAGUUGUUGAAUCAAUAAAAUUUGUCUUCUUAAGAGCUUUUUGGAUAGCAUUAAUCCUUGACCAGCUACUAAAGUGAGGAAGCAGCUCAUAGUUCACAAACCAGUCUAAUUAUUACCCAUCACUUUCUUCGCCUCCAAUUAUGACCCCAUUAAAUUCGCUCAUGGUUUUGGUUUGUUCUUGGGUACAUGUAUGGUGCAACUGCUCGCCACUCAUGUCGAGUCCAAGAAGGCGUCCAUUCUUCCGGAGCCUUUCCAAGUGAUGUUGAGUGUUGUGGGACUGCCUUGCUAUUUACUAAACCCUUAUAACUAACUUGUCAAAAAGUUAGUCACCAGAACAAAUUUAAAAUUCCUCUUUGAGUUAUUGAUUGAAAGAUCAAAUCUCGCCCUCUGGAGUUUAAAAAACAAAAAUUUAAUGGGUUUGUCAUGGACCCAACUAGCAUGAUUUCAAGCCAUACUACUCGAUAGCACUCGAACAUUGGAUCCCUUUAUGGGACUUGACUCGAGCACACAGCUGGUUCAUGGUAAAAAAAAUUAGUGCUUUUAAACCUAGACUGCUAAUUGAACCGGAUGAACUUCUAGUUCACGGAUCAAAUCAAUAAGUUCAAAGUUUUUUUUUUUAAUAUCAAAUAACUUGGAUGACAUUAAAAUUUUUAAAAAAUAAAAUUUGGGAUGAACUGAUCCAAAUUUUCAGUUUUUUUUUUUUUUAUCGAUUGUAAGUGGUUCAACCAGCUCUUGACUGGAUUUAAUUGAUUCCAAUUGACUUUUCAAGUUUGUUAGUGAAUCGGAUCGGUGCCAUAAGCGGUUUGGGAUUCAACACGACGGUCCAAUUCGGUUUUCAAAACACUGCAGAGAACAGAUAAAUAUUGAAGGGUUGUCAAGUAAAGAAUCAUAAGGACAGCAAUUAAUUGAAUCCUACACUUAAAACAGACGGUUCAGUAAGUACCCUUCAGUUUCCUCGUCCCAUGAAUCUGGCCCAUUUGCUAAUUGUUUUUGUUUGUUUUGUGUCAUGCACAUGGACUCUACUCCGGUUAAGUCCAGGAAGGGCUCCAUUUUCUCGAGACCCCUCAAUACGAUUUCUUUAAUGUCAGGCUGGUUUCCAGCCUGCCCCCGGUCAGAGGGAGCGGGGGUGUUGCAAGUAGCCAUUUCUUUUUAGUUCCCAAGUAGCCAUUUUAACCUCCUUGUACUUUAGAGAAAAAUUCUGAAUUUAUUGUAGAUUUCAAUAGGUUUAGACCCUAGAAUUUAAAGAUAUUGAAUUCAAAUCCCCCUUUCUUCGCUCCGUCUUUUAUUUCCACCCCUCCUCUCCUAGAAAAAAAAUUGUAGAUUUAGUAUUCUUUUACAAAAGCAAUGAUUAUGAUUGAAUUAGGUAUUCUAUGUGACGUUCUUUUACAAAAAAUUCUUCUAGUGAUAUACAUUUGCGUGUUUUUUUUCUUUCAAUUUUUGAAUAUUUGAAUAAUGGUUCUUUACGAUAUUUCUUUUUUCAGCUUGUUUUAAACCCAAAAAAAAAAAGAACAUUGAUUUUAAAAACUUGUGAAUCCGAACAAACCUAUGCUUUCGGAAGAAAUUCCUUAAUUUUUUGAAGGGAUUCAAAAUACUGCUACGAAAUUGGAGAGUUUGGUGCAAUGUUCUUCCAUGAGCAGUCUUCGCAUUUGAAACAACGCGAAAUAUGCUCGUUGCGUCCUGCUAGUGUUUACUCCUUCAAAGCUUAUUGAUUAUUAUUAAUUUUUUUUGAACCAGCUCUAUAAAUAUCUUCUUUAUUUUUAACUGUUGUAUUUCCUCUCCUUCUACUUCCUGUUUGGACAAGGAAUGAAGAUAAAUUUUAACAGAAAGAAUUCAAGGAGAUCUAUGAUAUACCCUGAUAUAUACAGGAGCUGAAAUUUGGAAUUGCAGUUUGGAUGAUGGACUUUGAUGAUGUGCUGCAAUAUUCUUCGAUGUAUCAUUGAUAUGGUAAAACUUAGGCUCGUCUAAGUGUAGGCUACUCUAAACUAGAAAUAUCCAAAGUAAAAACAGGAAGAAAAUCGAGAUUCCACUUUGUGGGAAUUAAUUUAAUCCUUGAAGUAAUCAUUUUUGGGGUGUCCGCAGAUACGCAACCACAUCGUGCAGGCUUUCUGGACAUUCCACUACUUUUGCAAGACAGUACAAUAGAUGGUUAAGUAUGAUCAUCCUUCCAGUUCAUGUUACCCUCGAAAAAUAAAAACCACCGCAGCCAAUACAUUAAUUCCUCUUCCAUAAAAACGAAAAAAAGAAAAAGAAAGAAAAGGCUUGAUUCCAUGGCAAACGCAAGUUUCUGUUCAUGGGAUAGGCCAUUCAUCAGGGCCUCUAAGUAUUUCUUGCUGCGAGGAUGUGUGUGCUAGUCGAGGACAAAUGACUAGAGACGAGCUUUGUACCUAUCUAGGACAAUGAAUUGGAAAAGUUUGAAUUGGUUCAAAUAACAUAUUGAACCCUUCGUUGCUUUCCAUCGAGUACAAAUGAUGGAAUAAUAAUGAGACAACGCACAUAUGUACUGCAAAUUGAUUCCUAUGAUUAGGGUACAUUUUACAUGUACAGCUGGGCUGGUUUGUAUAUUGUAGGAUAGGUCUGGACAAACGUGAGACAAAGCAACAUAAGGGCAGCAGCAAAUGAAAUGAUGGACCAGGGGUUAUUAAAAUAGUUCCUCAUCAGAUGAGCCCUCCAGAUGUUCCGACGCCGGCUAGAGUACUCGGUCACUUGCUUGGAAACUCCCGAGUAACAGAAGAGAUUGUUGCCUGUAUCAAUCUCGACCACCUUCACAAGUUUGUUAAACAUGGAAGAUAUUGCUUCAUCAUCACCUAACCUCUUGGUAAUAAUUUUUUGGUGCCGGAGCUUUUCAACAUCCCCUGAGGAAUCAAUGAGACUAUCCAUGAAGGUAAUGUAAUCAUGGUUCGCCAUCGCGGGUCGCGGUCGUGUCGCGGUCCCGGUUGUUCCGCGUCUGCUGCAGUAUAUUAGUUGAAUGUUAGAUGAUACGCAUAUUAUAAUACAUGAAAAUUUACAAAAAUUUUGAGAAAAAAAUACUAAAAUUUAAAAGUACCAAAAAAAACAUAAUUUAAAAAAUAUCCGAGUCGACUCCAAGUUAACUCGGAUAUAUCGGCCAAUAUUAUGCAUCACGGAUUCAAAUCGGCCAAUAUCAGCCGAGUCAGAGCAAGUCGUCGCGGGUAUGAUGAUAUCCACGAUUCGGGGAUCGGUAUCGUACCGGUCCUAUCCGUUCCAGUUACGACUUGGCAGAUACGUAUCGAUAUCGGCCGAUAUGGCGAACCAUGAAAGUAAUCGGUUACGUAUCUUUUAUCAAGUAGUCCAUUGAUCAUGUAAGGUUCGCAUGCGAUUAAGUUUCUGAAGACGCAUUCUGUAACAUCAUGAACGUCGAAAGUCGGGAUUUUCAUUAUUCCCUUUUCAAAAGCAAUAUCCAGGCACGAUACACUUUUGUUAGCCUUCUCAAACUUUAUCCUAGCUUGUCGUAGCUCGCUUGCGCAUUUUAUGUGCUCGUUCACCUCGCCACUUGUGGAACAAUUGUCUUGCGAAUCCCCAUUCUCUUGGCUUUGAUGAUCAGCUACUCGUUUUGCAGCAAAUGAAAAACAGUGCAAGCUGCUAGUAAUUUUGGGUAGCUGGAUUGCGGAUACACUUUUCUCCAAACCCCAGCCGCUUGUGGAAUAAAUGUCAUGUGGAUGCCCGUCUUCUAGGCUUCGAUUAUCAGCUGCUGGUUUUGCAGCAAAUGGCCAACAUGCGCUGCCAGAAAGUUUAUGUAGCUUGAUUGUGGAUUUUUUCAUUAGCUCCGACCACCCACCUCUUGUAGAGCGAAGGCCUUGUAGAUCCCCGUUUUCAGGGCUUCGAUUACCAUUUACCACCUGCUAGUUUUCCAGCAAAUGACCAACACCCGCACUUAUGCACCAGGUGAAGAAGAUGAACGACAUCUCCAACAUUUCCAGCAAUGUUUGUGUAGGAUUCGGUAAUGAUACAGGUUUCUCACCUGGGAAAAAGGAAUGCAGGGUGAAUGAGGGAAAAUGGCAAGAUCAACGAGGUUCUCCUCCUCAGCUCCUCCAGGUGACUAAGUUAUGUCAACCAGACGAACCAAGAUGAAGAAAGGCAGUUGAUUUUCAAACAAUAGUAUGUCCCUGAACAGACAUCCCAUUUUCCUACGAUUCAGGAAGAUGGGGUCACUUUGUUUUGGGCCGUAAUUAAGGGGAUACUCUUUGUACAGGCACCAACCAGCAUAUUUCCUCAAAAGCUCAAUGAUAAAGAGCCCGUCAAGUGUGAUAGCCUUUCUGGAAGAAUGGGUUGUGUCUGAAAUAAAAAAUUAUGUGAGGGAGUGGGUAAGGAUAUACUUUAAAUGAACAUGUACUAAAAAAACUGUUCUUUUUUUUUUUUUUAGAGUAGAAAAGGAAGUUAAAAAAUAAAUAAAUGAAGUGUUUGAUUCAUAUUCUGAUGAAAAACAUGCUUGGAUUGAAGUUUUUACUAGAAAAAUUUUAAUAUUUUUUGUGAUCAUGUUUUUCAGUCAUUUUUUUUUUAUCUCACAUCAUCAAAUUAUUACAGUAAUUUUCUACAAAAAAAAAUCUCUAGAAAAUAGGAAAUCAAACAAGGAAUUUUAUUUGGAAGAAGACAAUUUUAAUUAGAUGGGAAACAUGGUGGAUAAAAUUCUAGAAAUAAAGUCUUCUAUUUGUUCAUGCAACCAUUGAAACAAACUAAAUAUGAACCACAAAAGUACCAUGACUUAAUCAUGUAAGGACCAAACAACAGUCAGUACAACCACAUUUUUACUACACAUACUCUUUGUUAUGAUUUUUUGUUAUCGAAUAUUGAUAAACAACAGGAGUGAAGAUUGUGAGAUUUUCUUGGGGCAAAGUAGGAGAAUUGGAUAGAGGAAGUAGAGACAAAGUAGGUAACUAAGGAGUUAGACCAUAAAAUCUGAUAGAUUUUGUUUGGAUAUGUUAGUUUUCUCUCCAAACAAUUUUUUACUUGCAUCAUACAUAUGCUUUCUUCAGUUACUUUUUUUUUAAAAAAAUCUUUUCAACGAUUUUUUUUAAUCUCACAUUCUUCACAUAAUAAAAAAAAAUACUACAAUAAUACUUCAGAAAAAUUCUAAAAUCUCCUAUAUUUGCUAUUUAUACUUCCAACGCACAAUUCUUGUUCCUCUUUCAAAAAUACUUUCUUUAUGUUGUACCAUGUAGCUCAAGAAAAACUGAACAGUACUCUUAUAACUGCACACUAAUGAUCCGCAAUCUUUUCAAUUUAUUUUAAGGAUAAAUUACUUUUUAUCCCCCUGUGAUUUGGUGAUUUAUCACAUAAUUCCCCUAUCAUUUUAACAAACGUAGAUAUAACCCCCCCACUCCCCCAUGGUUUGGGUUAAUUUGUCACCAUUAAUUUUUUUCAUUCAAACUAAUCGUUAAUAGUAAAAAAUCAAAAUCAAACUAAUAAAUUUAGGGGAGGAGAACUUCGUAUAGUUGAAUCAAGUGGGGGGAGUACUAACUAAAAAAAAAAAAAGAUAACGUGAUGGACGGGUAACGAAAUUUGGAUCCCAAUGUGUGUUGGAAAACUCUUGCAGGCCCAUGAUAGGAACUACCCAUGAUAGGAACUACACACAUGGCCCAACUGACGGAAAUGAGUUUUAAUCAUGGCCCAUGAUAGGACCUACACACUAAUAGUAUUAUUGAUUUUAAUCAUGAUUCUCUAUCUUAAUAAAUACUGGCAUAAUUGGGGAAUAUUACACUGACAUAAUGGAUAAUUAAUACAACCAAUAGAGAAGAGACUAAACAAGGAUCAACUUAAUUAUAGGGAGAUAAUCAGCAGAACUCCCAAGCCGCAGAAGCAACAAUAGGGAUCACUGGUCGGAUCGAUAUCAACAAG